RNAcentral lists this long non-coding RNA (57028 nucleotides) under Triticum aestivum (bread wheat). RNAcentral describes it as "long non-coding RNA (TAES_LNC017136)". Lineage: Eukaryota; Viridiplantae; Streptophyta; Magnoliopsida; Poales; Poaceae. The record is from RNAcentral.
UAUGCUCGUGCGGGGUUUGUGUAAAGCCCUUCUGUUUGAGUGAGAUCUGAAUUGCUAUUGUGAUGAUGCAGAGUUGGUGUCUAUUUCUCCAUGGAGAUUUGAGUUUCCUCUUUUUGUUUAUUCUGUGUGUGGUGUUAGUACGAUGGUCUAUUUGCAAGAUGGCUGUAUGGAUAACUCAACUUUGUUUAUUCUGUGAGGGCUUGCUUGGUACCAAAUGUUAUGUGCUUCAUUGUGCAGUGCUGAUUUUGCAGCACUGAUAGAACUUACAACAGUAUUGCAUUGUAGUGUUUUCUGCAUGUUGUCGUAUCACUAGUUCCAUGCUACCUUCACAUUUAAGUCUAUUAGUUGUUUUUGUUUUUAUCCUUGAUUAGUAUCAAAUGUUGUAUUGUAGACUUAAAAUUGUUGUGGUUCCUCUUUUACGGAAGCUCAUGUGUGAAGUCGUGAAGUGUGAAGCAAGUGUGAAGCUGUGAAGUGUGAAGCCAAGUCUGAAGCUGUGAAGUCCAACUCAUUGUAGCAUAUCUGUGUUGUAAAGAUUGUAAUAGAUUUAUUUAGUGGUAUAUUUGAUGAAUUUUAUGUGUUAUUUGUUCUAUUUGAAAUAUUGAUUAUGUAUGUGAUUUGAAAACUUGUGAAAUGGAAACCUGUCCAGUGGGGCCACUUAUGAAAAUAAUCUGUCCAAUUUGUACAUUUCUGACAUGUGGGACCAAUUUUAGAGAUGAACAUGACAAGUUGGACGACUAGUGGGACCAGCUUGAAUAUAUAAUGGUUGGAAAUAGAAAAUUAGUAGACUAAAAGGCCAUGGCCUAGAAAAUAAAGAGGCCGAAUUUUUGGGCCUGGCCCAUGUGGCUAACCAGAAUUAAUAGGAAAAGUAAUAUUAAAUGGGCUGAAUUAGUGGGCUUGGCCCAUGUAGAACACCGUAUUGGACUGCGCUGAAUCUUAUCCAUGUCAGCUUGCCACGCUGGAUCCUACGUGGCCUGGGGAGGCUACCAGUGACCAAAAAUUUGGUCGUAGAACCAACGACCUUUUACAUAUCACAAAGAAGGUCGUUAAUUUCAGUUUACGACCGCCAGCUUUUAACCAUCCGUUUUUGGUCAAAAAAGGUCCCAAAUGAAAAACAAUGACCAUUCAGUGACCAAUAGUGAUGGUCGCAAGUUGAUGUAUUUCUUGUAGUGGGUAAGUAUUUAACCCAAAUUUAUAGAUUCGACACAAGGGGAGCCAAAGAAUAUUUCAAGGUAUUAGCAGCUGAGUUGUCAAAUCAAACACACCUGGAGAUUAAUUAUCUGCAGCAAAGUGAUUAGUAGCAAAGUAGUUUGAUAGUUUUGAUAAUAGUGAUAGCAGUAAUAGUAACAAUAAUAGUGACAGCAGUAAUAUUGUAGCAAGUGUGACAGUAGCAGCAACAAUAGUAACUUAACAAGAACAAUAUAUGAUAAAUUCAUAGGCAUUGAAUCGGUGACUUGUUGGAUGGUAUUCAUCAUGAGACAGUUAUAACCUAGGGCGAUACGGCACUAGCUCCAGUUUAUCGAUAUAAUAUAUGCAUGUAUUCUGUAAAUAGUCAUACGUGCUUUAUUAAAAGAACUUGCAUGACAUCUUUUGUCCUACCCUCCCGUGGCAGUGUGGUCCAUAUUGGAAACUAGGGGAUAUUAAGGCCUCCUUUUAAUAGAGAACCGAAACAAAGCAUUAACACAUAGUGAAUACAUGAACUCCUCAAACUACGGUCAUCACCGAGAGUGGGCGUGGUUGUUGUCACUCCGGAGUUGUCUCGUCAUAACACGUAGUAGGUGACUAUAACUUUCAAGAUCGUAUCUAACACAUGGAUAUAAUGAUGAAUUCAUAAACGGUUCAGAUAUGAAAUCAUGGCACCCGGGCCCAUAGUGACAAACAUUAAGCAUAGCAAAGUCAUAGCAACAUCAAUCUAAGAACAUAGUGGAUACUAGGGAUCAGGCUCUAACAAAACUAACUCGAUUACAUGAAGAAUAUCCUCCAACUCCUCACCGACCAGCGAGCCUACGAAGGAAUUACUCACUCCUGUUGAGCCAUCAUGGAAUUUGUGAUGGAGAUGGGUUGGUGAUGACGAAGAACGAAGAUCCCCCUCUCCAGAGCCCCAAACGGACUCCAGAUCUGCCCUCCCGAGGUAUAACAGGGCUUAGCGGAAGCUCCGUCUCGUGGAUCACGAUAAUCCUUUCUCCUUGAUUUAGGGUGCCCUCCUGCUCCUGUAUAUAAAGGAGCAAUGGGGAGGGGCGGCCGGCCCUCCUAGGGCGUGCCCCACAAGUGGAGUCCUACUAGGACUACUAGUCCUAGUAGGAUUCCACCAAGAGGGAGAGAGGGGGAAGGAAGGAGAGGGAGAGGGAGAAGGAAAGGGGGGCAUCGCCCCCACUUCCCUAGUCCAAUUGGACCCAAGGGGGAGGGCACACGGCCUGCCCUGGUCGCCCGUCUCUCUCUCUCUACUAAGGCCCAUGUGGCCCAUGACCUCCCCCGGGGGGUUCCGGUAACCCUCAGGCACUCCAGUUUUAUUCGAAACAUUUCCGGAACACUUCAGGUGUUCAAAUAUAGCCGUUCAAUAUAUCAAUCUCUAUGUCUCGACCAUUUCGAGACUCCUCGUCAUGUCCAUGAUCUCAUCCGGGACUCCGAACAAACUUUGGUCAUCAAAAACACAUAACUCAUAAUACAUAUCGUCAUCGAACGUUAAGCGUGCGGACCCUACGGGUUCGAGACCUAUGUAGACAUGACCGAGACACAUCUCCGGUCAAUAACCAAUAGCAGAACCUGGAUGCUCAUAUUAGCUCCUACAUAUUAUAUGAAGAUCUUUAUCGGUCAAACCGCAUAACAACAUACAUUGUUCCCUUUGUCAUCGAUAUGUUACUUGCCCAAGAUUCGAUCGUCGGUAUCAUCAUACCUAGUUCAAUGUUGUUACUAGCAACUCUCUUUACUCGUUUUGUAAUACUUCAUCCCGCAACUAACUCAUUAGUUACAAUGCUUGCAAGGCUUAUAGUGAGGAGCGUUACCGAGAGGGCCCAAAGAUACCUCUCACUACAGGAAUCAGGUAAUUUGCCAUCUGUGCUUCACAGACGGCAAAGACAGAAUACAUGAUGGCAAAGAGUUUGCCGUCAACAGCAGACGGCAAAGUGUGUCGGCAAAGGGUAAAUCGGCAAAGCCAUACUUUGCCGUCAGCUUUAUGUCAGGCUGACGGCAAAGGCUUUGCCGUCAGUUUUCACACUUCACCGUCACUCGUUACAGCCUGACGGCAAAGAAAAGCACUUGACGGCUUGACAUCCUAACGAAUGGCGUUAGAUACUUUGUUGUCAGCCUGCAGACGGCAAAGAGCUGAGCACUUUGCUGUCAACAGCAGUCAGUCUACAGACGGCAAAGAGCUAAGCACUUUGCCAUCAGCAGAUAAACGGCAAAGUACUCAUUUGCUGACGGCAAAAUUCUGUACAGAUUUUUUUUAAACUUACCUCGACAAUUCAAUAGACCAUAUAUAUCACAAAUAUAACAGCAAUGUUCCAUAGAAACAAAACAAACCAUAGAAAAUGUCCAUAUAUAUAUCAUAGGGUGUCACAAAGUGUUGCAUACGAGAUCACAAAGUAGACUAAACCAUCACAAAGUAUCACAUCUAGCUGGGCAUCUUCAAGUCAUGUACUACUCCAGGAAUUAGCCUCACAACCAUCAGCUCUACACACACAUGCUAAACUCCAACUAUGCUACUGGAAAGGAAACAACACACAACUACUCGCUAUGUCGAGGAGAUUAAAACACCACAUCAGGUUGACUGUAGCUCCGUGCAACCAAUCAUCGUUGCUGCUCCAUCCCUUAUUCACAUGCCCACUGCAAUUAACCAAACAAAAAAGAGGUUCAGACAUAGAUUUAUCAUAUCAAAUAGAUUAAGACUCAAGAGCAUCAUUCAUCAUACUAAAGGGAUUUUUGCAGUCAAAUAAACUUGUCAAGCAUAUAACAACAUCCUAAUAGACAAGAACCUAUUGACACCAAAUCUAAACUAGCCUAGUACAGGAAUAAAUAUGACAUGUACAACAGCUCCUCCUAGUACAGCUACAGCUCCUAGUACACAUCAUUUAGCAGGAGCAAACAUGACAUGCAAAACAUGGGCAAGUAUUUACAUGCAGAGCAGCAGGAGAAAAUUAAAUAUUUGUUAGAACCAAAUCUGAACUAGCCACAUACAUGGCCAAUGGCAAGGAAUUGCCUCACAGCGUAUCAUGACAUCAAUGAGAACAAGGCAUCUGUUUCGAUCGCAUAGAUCCUUCCUCAAUCAUUAAGUAUAUCAUAAAAGCAGGAAUACCAAACCUGAAAGUCUGUGAGGGAUGACAAAAUACUAAUUGGCAUUGUACAUUUAUUUUCACUAAAGUGAUGGCACAACCCAGAGCCUACCCGUGUCUCAGUUCUGAUAAAGUGUGUAAUCAGAAAACUAUUUCAGUUCUGUAGAGCAACCCAAACCAUGUACCCCCAUCUACUCGUUGUAGAAAGAUUACCCGCUCAUGAGAACCUGGACAGCAAUAAAGAAACCAGUUGGAGAUUAUUGAGUUCAUCUUAUACUUCAUGGAUCCAUGGGAGCACAGACGACAAACAUAUAAUGUGUAACCUUGUAGAGAGGUGUUGUGAUAGGUGUUACAUAUAAUUAGUUGUGUGGAUUUGAACUGCAGACAUACCUGGAUACAACCAAAGUAAUAACUAUGCAUUGAUAAAGAGAAGAGUACCGUUGUUUAAUGCCCCUGCCAAAACAUGAACAUCCUCUUGCCAGAAAUAAAUAGUAGAAGGGAGCAGUCAUAAAUUAUUACUCCCUCCGUUCCUUGAUAUAAGGUGUAUAUAUUUAUGAGAAAGACCCCGAAAUAUAAGGUGUAUUGCAUCGCACCACUCAUUUGGAUAAUUUUUUAGGGAUUUGAUUACAUUUUCUUAUAUGAGGCAAGCUCCUCUAUUUUCUCAUGUCAAUUAGUCAGGUGUAAUCUCGCCCAAAACUUUUGAAAUUUUCCAUGCGCGUGCGUUCUUUAAUUUCCGUGCCAAAAACUAUACACCCUAUAUACAGCAAUGGAGGGAGUAUUAUUUAAUAGAAGGAGCAGUCGUAAUUGUUGUGCCCAAACAUGUAUUUUGUACCAUUAUUGAGAAUACAUAUUUUAAGAACAUCAAUCUCAUAAUAUAACAUAGGAAAUAAUUUGAAUGCAGAGUACUCCAACAUAGAACAUACAACCCUAGGAUUAACUGCAUAGAAUGAAGGGAAGGGAAGGGUCGGACCUGUCCUUGACGAGCUGCUCCAUGGCGUGCCUCUCCUAACGAGCACAAGCAGGUCCUGUCCCGGCGCGGAUCUGGCCACCGCCAACAUGGCCGGACGGCUAGGGUUGGAGGAAGGGAGGCCAUGGUGGUGCUUCUGCUGCUGGCCGCACCUACAGAGAUGACGAGAGACAGGGGGUCAAAGAAAGAGUCGGAGAAGAGAAGGGGAAGUAACACCGUUCCGCCGUCGUCGAGGUAGCCACCGUCGUCGUCGUCGCCGUCUGUCACAAUGGCCCGGCGGCUAGGGUUUCCAGCGCGAAGAGUGAGGGAGGGCGGGCGGAUCUGAGCACGAAGAGUGAGGGAGGGUGGGCGGAUCUGAGCGCGUGAGGGAGGGAGUGAGCUAGGGUUUCGGGCUAGCGGCGGCGGGUGUGGGGGAGGCCACUAGAGGAAUCGGGGCAGAGAGGAGAGAAUGAGAGAGAGGGCCAGCUCGGGCAGAGGCUUUGCCUCCUCAGCGGAUAGGCUGGUGGGCCAGUGCGCCGAGACCCAUUGGCCCAUAUGGCCUUUGCCGUCAGUCCCCAGUAACGCACAGACGGCAAAGAUGGGCUCCUGUUUUCCCACCAUCACCUGCAUUCAUUUUGCUGUCUUCAAAUCUUUGCUGUCAGCUAACAUCUGUCUUUGCCGUCAGCUGGAAACAAACACAGACGACAAAGUAUGCAUUUGCCGUCAGCAAAACAAAAAUAGAAGGCAAAGUAUAUCUUUGUCGUCGUUUGUUCUUUGCCGUCAUCCACUGACGGCAAAGUAUGUCUUUGCCGUCUGCCCCGAUGAAAAGCUGACGGCAAAGUGCAGUACUGACAGCAAAUUAGCUGAUUCCUGUAGUGUCUCCGUAACACGGAGUGACAAAUCCUAAUCUUGGUCUAUGUUGUGACGUUUGAUAGCACACAAGGUGUUCCUCCGGUAUUCGGGAGUUGCAUAAUCUCAUAGUCUGAGGAACAUGUAUAAGCACUAGUAGAAAAAGGGCCAUUAGUCCCGAUUCGUGAGGGCCAUUUGUCCCGGUUCCCGAACCGGGACUAAAGGGUUGGUACUAAAGCCCUAUACCUUUAGUCCCGGUUCGCCCAGGAACCAGGACAGAUGGGGCUCCACGUGGCCGCUGCCGCUUGCCCAGGUAGGGGGAACUUUUGUCCCGGUUGUUGCCACCAACUGGGACCAAAAGGCUUUGACGCGUUAGCAGUUCAGGGGCUGGGGGUUUUGUUUUUUUCUAAAGGGGGGGUGGGGGUUUUGGGGGUUUUGUAGGGUUAAUUUAGGGGUUUCAUACAUUGUGCUAGCUAGCUAUAAUAGAGAGAAGUGUCCUCUCUUAUCUCCGUGCUUGGUCGACACUACGUACUAUACGUAUAGAGAGGACUCAAGACACUAGCUAGCUAGUAAGCAAAUGAAGGAAACCAUUAAGUACAGAAGAUCGUCAUGAACAUAUAUAUAGAGAAGUGAUCGACCUCUCCUUCUCCAAGAGAUUGGUCGAACAACAAGUUUUCGUAUAUCUUACCGACGCUACUGGCUACAUAUAUAUAUAUAUAUAUAUAUAUAUAUAUAUAUAUAUAUAUAUAUAUACACACACACAAUGUGUAAGAUCUCUUACAAUAACCUAACAUAUGAACUCAACUUCCACAUGCAUGGUAUUCUCCGGCUUUAUUGAUGACGUGGUCAAGAAAGAAUCCAGCCAAUUCCUCUUGAAUUGCUCGCAUGCGAUCUUGUGGUAGGAGUUCAUCCCGCAUCUGCCACAUCUAAUUUGAAUAAGGGGGUCAAUACAUAUAUAUGAAUGAAACUCAACAGAAAUGAUGUUAAUAAAAUAAAAUUGUGAAUAUUUUUGCUUACACACUUCAUAUUGUAUUUUAGAGUAGCCCCACCUAUUCUUGGUCGUUGCGUUGUAGAUGAACUCACAGACGUAGUAUCCAUAGUAAUUAUUCCUGGCUUCCUGCCACAAGAACUUUACGAGAAAUAGAGGUCAAUCAAACUAAUAAUGAAGCAUUAUAAAUGGCAUAGAUGAAAGUAGCUAGAAUCAACGGGAGAUGCAGGGAACUAGCUAUCUAGUAGUACUUACUUUCGGGUAUUUCCAUCGCAGAUCCCGCAGCAGUCCCGGAACUUGUGCGGUGAAUACUUUCCAAACCCUGCAAGACAAAGAAAACAAUUACUUGAUAUCAUGAAAUGAACAAAGUUGCCGAUAUGGUGCAAUAAUGAUUGAUUCAACUUACUUGUCGAGCAUUUUUAGUCAUGGUCGCAUACUCCUCCAGAUUUUUUUGUCUCGUGUCCAAGAAGUUUACUCGUCCCUACUCAAGCUUAAUCUCUAGCAGAAUAUAGUGGAAGCUGCGCACACAUGCAUAACUCAUCAAUUACAUUAAUUACUAUAAGCUCGAGUAAUAAUUAAGGGAAACCGAAUAUGCACAAGAUAGUAACACUCACUUGAAGUUGUAAGAAAAGAGUAUUGUAUCUUUGUUUUGAUUUAUUACCAAUGAUCAUAGCAAGUUGUCCUCGGUUUCUUUGGCAUGAAAUGUAACCGUAUAUUCAUCUAUGAGAUUUGUGUUAAUGAACCCAAUAUCAUACAUUUCACUUUUCUGCAUUCGACAUUCUUCAAUCUGCAUAAUAUAGUGAGGAUAAUUAUAUAUACAUGCAAUGAAAGAGCUGAGCUAUAUAUAGAGACUUAAUGACAGAAGUAGUACUUACAGACAGUAGGAACUGACUGUUAAUUUAUCAAGGGCCUUUUGAUUGAAAAACUGGAAGAACUCCUCAAAUGGAACAGGCAACUGCUCAAUUCCAAUGAGGUCGUGCUGAUACUCUUUAACUUUCAGCGUCAAAGUAUCGAUUUUCUUCCUAGACUUUCUGCAGGUUUCCAUGUACCAAUCAUGAAAUCUUCGCAUCAUCAUUGUUAGAGUAGUUCCAUCUUUGACGAGAGGCUUCCCGUACUCAUAUUUGAAUUUGUCCACCUCCAUUAUAUCAAAAUGUGCAUCAUCUCGUGCAUGUAAUCUGCAGGAUUGGUACCGCGCAUGAUCCCCGGAUGAUUAGCAACGAUAUCGCUAGACACCUUGAGCGGGGGGCAUAAUUGGUUCUCUUGUUCGCCGAGCUGGGGAAUUUUUUUCCCACUUCUUCAUUCUUGUAACCUUUUGUCACUGCAAGUACUUCCGGACCUCUUCGCUUCCUUAUAUGUCCUUUCAGUAAUGCGCUCAUAGUUGGUUUGCGGCGGAGACGGUGGUGGUCACUGUAGGGCAUCCAAAGUGCGCUUCGCUUUCACCAGAUCUAUCUUCUCCUCCGGUGGUGGAUGUUUCUUAGCUCUUUGCCUUUCGAAGUAGUCCUUCACUUGGGCUUGACAGAUCUCCACGUUUUCCUUUUCGGUCAUCUCGUAUGGUAACUUCUCUGGAGUCUUGAGAGGUGGACCGAAUCUGUAUUGCCUCCCACCUCUGGCUAUACUGCUAGACGUCGGAGUAGGCCGAGCGGUUGCGGCUGUUGUCUUUUGUUGCUUACGAGGCGGAGGAGAAGGACUACGACACGCCAGAGCAGCCAGAGCGGCGGCGGGUCUCUUCCGCCCUUGCUGACGAGGCAGAGAAGGAGGAGGCUGGCUGGUCAGGCGCGUCGGCGCAGGCGGAGAAGGAGGCGGAGUGCUGCCACGCGCCGGAGAAGGAGGCAGAUUGCCCUGAUCACUCGCCGGAGAAGCAGGCGGAGCAGGAGGCGGAGUGCCCUGACUCGCCGAAGGAGGAGGAGGCGGCGGAGGCGUCCAGUUCGGAAGGUUGAUGAGCUCCUUCCGCCAUAGGCACGGAGUCUUUAGAGCAGAACCCAGCCGAGUGUCCCCUUCACCAGUAGGGUGGUCAAGCACGAGCUCCUCAAAUCCCUACAUUAUUUCGUCCACUAUCACCCUAGCAUAUCCUUCUAGAAUUGGACGGCAGUGAAAAGUUGCGCCGGGUUCAGGAGGUUGAACAGAGCCGACAGCCGUCUUGACUUUUUAGUUAUACCAUUGUGUCAUAAGGUGGCAAUGUUGAGACUCUGUGAUAGCAUCCACGGGGUAGCUAGCAGGAGCCGUGAAGACAGGCUCCAGCUGAAGCAGCUCGGUGGAAGCCACGCUACUUCUCCACUGAGAUGGCAGGGUAGCUUCGGGGUAGCUUCGGCAGGUCGCUUGCUUCGAACUGCUUCUCAUUCCUCUAGCUUCCGUACCCUUGCGUGCAUCUCCGGCAGUUCGCUCUGCUCCACUUUCCUCCUCUCUUGGCAUUUGUAACCGCCUGCGUCCAGAAAUCCAACCUUCCAUGGAACGGAGCCUGGCAUGCCUCGUGUCCGUCCAGGGUGCUCAGGAUUCCCGAGGGCCAUUGUGAGCUCGUCCUUCUCUCUGUCUGGAACAAACGUCCCUUCCUGAUUUGCGGCAAUAUAGUCCUGAAGCUUCGUGACGGGUAUUCGCAGUUUCUCGCUCGUCCAAACACACUUCCCUGUUACAGGGUCCAAGGUUCCGCCAACCCCGAAGAACCAAGUCCCUGAAUGGUAUGGCUAGUUCAAUGUCUCUAGUUCGACCCCUUUAUCAAGCAGGUCAUUCUCAGCCUUAGCCCACAACGAUCGGGCAUUGAGGUAGCCACCUGACCCCGUGCGAUGGUGAUGCUCCUUCUUCGUAGCAUUUAUCUUGUUUGUUGCUGACAUCUUCUUACUCCUGUCCGAUGUCUUGUUGGCCACAAAUGCGUCCCAUUGAUCUCUGAGCUUCUCAUACCGGCCGAUGAAUUCUGGUUUCUUUUCUUUGUCGACAAACUUUGCUUUCACCUCAUUCUUCCACCUCCUGAAUAGAUCUUCCAUCUUCUUGAGAGCACAGGACUUGAUCAAUGGAUCUAUAACUGGAUUUUCCGGACCCUCCUCUUCCGGUAGGGUGAAAUUUACCUUCAGCGCUUUCCAAAGAUCCUCUUUCUGUCUAUCUUUGACAAAAGAAACUUUAAGCUCUUCCUUCUUAGUCUCAUUCCAUAGCUUGAUGCUGAUCGGGAUCAUGUCCCUAACAAGAACCCCGCACUGAGCAGAAAAUGCUUCCUUGGUCCGGAGGGGUUCAAUUGGUUGGCCAUCACGCGAGAUUGCUGUGAUCAUGAACCUUUCAUCCGAGCACAACAUUUUCUUCGGGACCUGUCUCUUUACCGAAGAUGUGCUCGAUUCGGAGGGCUAGAAAAAAGAAGAAGACGAGAGUUAAUAUGUGUAGAUACCAAAACAAUUAAUGCAUAAAUUAGCUAGUCAGCACAGGCUUAAUUAAUAUAUAUCCCUGGCCGGACUCUGUUCGGUCACUGGAACCGUCAUCGCGGUCUCCUUCUUGCACCGGCAUUCGGUCACCGGAGCCAUCAUAAUCAUGUCCUUCCUCCUCCGUUGUUCGAUAACCGUAGCCUGCUUCACCAUCUCCUUCCAGACCAUCGGUUUCAUUGAGAUACGACAUGACAUCACCUCCGUUUGCGAUCAUGUCCCCCAACACCUGUUCUGCUUCCUCGUCUCGGCCAUGCUCCAUAGUUUCUGUAAAUAUUACAACAUGGAAAUUAUUAUACAAACAUGACAGAUGGAUAUAUUAGUGGCAAACAUAGACCUAGCUAUAGCUAAUCACAACAAGGAAUUAUAUUAAUUAGUGGCCUCGAUGCUUCUCUAGGGUUUGGGGUGGCCUCGACAACGCUUCAAUGGUUCGGGGUGGCCUCGACGAAAACGCUCUUUUAACUUGGUAAAUUUGGGUGGCCUCGGCAGCGCUUCUAGGGUUUGGGGUGGGCUCGACAACAACACUCUUUUAACUUGGUAAAUUUGGGUGGCCUCGGCAACGCUUCUAGGGUUUGGGCCGGACCGCCUCUCUCAUGAUUGUCUGAUGUUUGUCUAGUGUCAAAGGAUUCAACAAAACCAUGUCUUCAUCAUUAGGCAAAAGUAACAGGCCCAUGAUGGUACAAAGCUCUCCAAAGUUAUUUUGGAAAGGAAUCCCAGAUAGGAUAAUUCGGUUUUUGGUACAAAGUACAGCAAGAGCCUUCCGAAUAUCGCUAUUUGGAAGGCCUUUGCUGAAAUUACUACCAAAAGGAGGAUUAUACUAUCCGGGACUCCGUUUCAGAAUAACUUUGGAGAACUUCGUACCAUCAUGCCCCGGUUACUUCCGGCUAAUGAUGAAUCCAUGGAUUUCUUCAAUACUUUGACACUAGGCAACCACUCGACCCCUCGGUGAUCCUCGACCCUCGAGCCUAGCUAGUUCACGACCCUCGACCGCUCGGCGAUCCACGACCCUCUACCCUAGUUCCCGACCCUCGACCCCCUCAUGUCAUGUUUGUCUAGUGUCAAAGGAUUCAACAAAACGAUGUCUUCAUCAUUAGGCGAAACUAACAGGCGCAUGAUGGUACGAAGUUCUCCCAAGUUAUUCUAGAAUGGAAUCCCAGAUAGGAUAAUUCGCUUUUUGGUACAAAGUACAAGAAGAGCCAUCCGAAUAUUGCUAUUUGGAAGGCCUUUGCUGAAAUUUGUACCAAAAGGCGGAUUAUCCUAUCCGGGACUCUGUUCCAGAAUAACUUUGGAGAACUUCGUACCAUCAUACCCCGGUUACUUCCGGCUAAUGAUGAAGCCAUGGAUUUCUUCAAUACUUUGACACUAGGCAACCUCUCGACCCCUCGGCGAUCCUCGACCCCUCAACACCUCAGCCCCUCGACGACCAUUGAACCCUCGAACCUAGAACCCUCGAACCCUCGACCCUCGAACCUAGAACCCUCGAACCCUCGACCCUUGACCCUAGAACCCUCGAACCCUCGACCCUCGAACCCUCAAACCCUCGACNNNNNNNNNNNNNNNNNNNNNNNNNNNNNNNNNNNNNNNNNNNNNNNNNNNNNNNNNNNNNNNNNNNNNNNNNNNNNNNNNNNNNNNNNNNNNNNNNNNNNNNNNNNNNNNNNNNNNNNNNNNNNNNNNNNNNNNNNNNNNNNNNNNNNNNNNNNNNNNNNNNNNNNNNNNNNNNNNNNNNNNNNNNNNNNNNNNNNNNNNNNNNNNNNNNNNNNNNNNNNNNNNNNNNNNNNNNNNNNNNNNNNNNNNNNNNNNNNNNNNNNNNNNNNNNNNNNNNNNNNNNNNNNNNNNNNNNNNNNNNNNNNNNNNNNNNNNNUGACCCUAGAACCCUCGAACCUCAAACCCUUGACCCUCGACCGGCCUCGACGACCCUCGACCCCUCUGUGACCCUCGACCCUCUAGCCUAGUUCCCGACCCUCGACCCCUCGGCGAUCCUCGACACCCGCGUUCCCGAUAAAAAGAAGAAGAAGAAGAAGAAAAAGAGAGGAGAAGAAGAAAAAAAGAAGAAGAAGAGGAAGAGGAAAUAAAAGAAAAAAUAUACAUUUUUUCUUCUUCUCCUCUAUUCCUUCUUCUUCUCCUUUUUUUCUUCUACUUCCUCUUCUUGUUUUUUCUCCUCUUCUUCUCCUUCUUCUCCUUCUUCCUUCUUCCUCUUUUAUCUUUUUCCUUAUUUCCUUCUUCCUCGACGACCCUAACCCUAAAGAGUACAACUUCCUCGACGUCCUCGCCUCUCUCAUGAACAAAAAAAUCUAUGAAUAAAAAGAACAUCAUAUUCUAUGAACAAAAAAACAUCAUAUUCCAUCCACAUCCACGCAUACAUCAUAUAUAUGAUCAUCUAUGAAAAAACAUCAUAUUCUACAAAAAAAAUCAUAUAUACGAACAAAAACAAUUAUGAUAACAAGCAUAUAUAUCAUCAUAUAUAUGAACAAAAAUAAGCAUAUAUAUGAAAAAACAAGCAUAUAUAUCAUAAUAUAUAUGAAAAAAACAAGGACAGGGAGGGCGCUAGCCGUACCAAGGUGAGGAGGGGCAGGGGCAUGGAGUCGACGGCGAGGACGGUGACGGCGAUGACUUCGAUGGGGCNNNNNNNNNNNNNNNNNNNNNNNNNNNNNNNNNNNNNNNNNNAAUGCACCCCUUUAGUCCCGGUUGGUGCCACCAACUGGGACCAAAGGUCUCUUUUCAGCAGCGCAAAGGGCGGGAAAUAGAGGCCUUUGGUCCCAGUUGAUGGCACCAACCAGGACUAUAGGGGUGCAUUAGUCCCGGUUGGUGGCACCAACCGGGACUAAUUCCGCCCUUUAUUCCCGGUUGGUGCGACCAACCAGAACCAAAGGCCCUGUGCUGCCCGCGUUGCAGCCAAAAUUUAGUCCCACCUCUCUAGUUGAGAGAGCUUGAGAGUGAUUUAUAAGCGCUGCUGCGCCAACCCUCUCGAGCUCCUCUUAACUGCAGGCUUUCGGGCCUAACCUGUCACUGUGUGCCUAUGGGCCUACUCGGCCUCCUGCGGGCCUGAAUCCUGGCCCAUGAUUGGGUUUCUAUUCGUAUUCAGGCCGUGGUGGCCCAGUAGGUGGCACUUUUUUUGCUUUAUUUAUUUUAUUUUGUUUCUACUUACUGUUGCUAUUUUUAUUUAUUUUAUUAAAGUUUAUUUAUUUUACAUUAUUAAAGUUUAUUUUGUUUCUACUUAUUUAUUUUAUUUUGUUUCUACUUAUUUAUUUUCUUUUCUUUUUUGCUUUGUUUAUUUUUUUUGCUUUAUUUAUUUUGUUUUGUUUCUACUUACUGUUGCUAUUUUUAUUUAUUUUUUUAAAGUUUAUUUAUUUUACUUUAUUAAAGUUUAUUUUACUUCUACUUAUUUAUUAAAGUUUAUUUUGUUUGUACUUAUUUUUUUAUUUUGUUUGUACUUAUUUUCUUUUCUUUUUUGCUUUUAUUUUAUUUUAUGAAAAUUCCUUUUGCUUUUAAUGUUUUGAACGGAAAAUACUUUGAUAAUUUUAGUUGCAUAAAUUUUAUAUAAUUUUAGUUUCAAUGAUACUAGAUGUUUAUAAAAGCUUUUUGGUCGAUCCCUGAAAUUGAUAAGCUUUUCAAAUGAACUCUGAAAAGGUUGAAAGUUGGCAUGGUAUCAUCAUUUCAUCCACAUAGCAUGUGCUAAAAAGUUGAGAGGGUUACGACAAAAACUGGAUGCACUACGUGUACAAAACAGACAAUCUCUUUGGAAGUAUCAGGGUUUCGGACGAAAACUCAUCUGUUACAAAGGGAUUUCAUUUGUUCAAAUGUAACUGCAGUGAUAUUCUACAUCAAAGGCAUCAUCAUAAUAGUUGUUGAUAGAAAGUCUUCACUUUUUCUUCGCUUGUGUUCUUUGCUUAUUGCGCCGUAACCAUGGAUAAUCUUCAUCAUUUAACAUGGUGGUUGGGUUAUCCUUGACUUUGAAGGGAGGAAUUUCAUGAAACUUUUCAUAAUCUUCAAACAUGUCUAUCUUGCCCUCCAAUCCCAUGAUGUCUCUUUUUCCUAAAAGAACUAUGUGGCGCUUUGGCUCGUCGUAUGAUGUAUCCGCUUCCUUAUCUUUUCUUUUUCUCGGUUUGGUAGACAUGUCCUUCACAUAGAAAACCUGCGCCACAUCAUUGGAUAGGAAGAAUUUCUCGUCUGUGUACCCCAGAUUGUUCAGAUCCACUGAUGUCAUUCCGUAGGUCUACCUGUACCCCGCCUCCUGACAGAUUAACCCAUUUGCACUUAAACAAAGGGACCUUAAUAUCAUAUCAAUAGUCAAGUUCCCAUAUGUCCACUAUGUAACCAUAAUAUGUGUCCUUUCCCCUCUUGGUUGCUGCAUCAAAGCGGACACCACUGUUUUGGUUGGUGCUCUUUUGAUCUUGGGCGAUCAUGUAAAAUGUAUUCCUAUUUAUCUCGUACCCUUUGUAAGUCAUUACAGUCGAAGAUGGUUCCCUUGCCAAAGAGUACAGGUCAUCAGAAACAGUGUUGUCACACCUAAGACGUGUUUGGAACCAACUGCCAAAACUCCUGAUUUGUUCACAUGUAAUCCAAUCGUCACACUAGUCCGGGUGUUUGGAGCGUAGAAUGUUCUUGUGUUCAUCGACAUACGGGGUCACCAAGGUAGAAUUCUAUAGAAUCGUGUAGUGUGCUUCAGACCAAGAAUGCCCAUCCCUACAUAUUAUUGAGUCCCCUCCUAGUGUGCCUUUUCCACCCAGUCUCCCCUCAUACCGCGGUUGAGGGAGACAUGUCUUCUUAUGGUCAGGAAUGAAGUCAACACACAACCCAAUGACUUCCCCUAUUUGAUGGCCCAUGGAGAUGCUUCCUUCUGGCCUAGCACGGUUACGCACAUAUUUCUUUAGGACUCCCAUGAACCUCUCAAAGGGGAACAUAUUGUGAAGAAAUAUAGGGCCCAAAACGACAAUCUCGUCGACUAGAUGAACUAGGACGUGCGUCAUGAUAUUGAAGAAGAUUGGUGGGAACACCAGCUCGAAACUGACAAGACAUUGCGCCACAUCACUCCUUAACCUUGGUAGGAUUUAUGGAUCCAUCACCUUCUGAGAGAUUGCAUUGAGAAAUGAACAUAGCUUCACAAUGGCUAAUCGAACGCUUUCCAGUAGAAGCCCCCUCAAUGCAACCUGAAGCAGCUGCGUCAUAAUCACGUGGUAGUCAUGAGACUUUAGGUUCUGGAACUUUUUCUCUGCCAUAUUUAUUAUUCCCUUUAUAUUCGAUGAGUAGCCAAACGGGACCUUCAUACUGACCAAGCAUUCAAAGAAGAUUUCCUUCUCUUCUUUGGUAAGAGCAUAGCUGGCAGGACCUUCAUACUGCUUUGGAGGCAUGCCGUCUUUUUCGUGCAAACGUUGCAGGUCCUCCCGUGCCUCCGGUGUAUCUUUUGUCUUCCCAUACACGCCCAAGAAGCCUAGCAGGUUCACGCAAAGGUUCUUCAUCCCGUGCAUCAUGUCGAUUGAAGAGCGGACCUCUAGGUCUUUCUAGUAGAGUAGGUCCCAAAAUAUAGAUUUCUUCUUCCACAUGGUUGCGUGUCCCUCAGCAUGUUUCCGAACAGAUAAUCUGCUGGGACCCUUUUCGAAUAUUACUUUUAAAUCAUUGACCAUAGCAAGUAUGUGAUUAUCGGUACGCAUGGUGGGCUUCUUCUGGUGAUUUACCUCGCCUUUGAAGUGUUUGCCUUUCUUUCGACAUUGAUGGUUGGUCAAAAGGAAUCGACGAUGCCCCAGGUAAACAUUCUUCCUACUUUUGUCCAGGUAUAUACUUUGAGAGUCAUCUAAACAGUGCAUGCAUGCCUGGUAUCCCUUGUUUGUCUGUCCUGAAAGGUUACUGAGAGCAGGCUGAUGACCGACAAGUAUAGGGGAUCUAUCGUAGUCCUUUCAAUAAGUAAGAGUGUCGAAUCCAACGAGGAGCAGAAGGAAAUGAUAAGCGGUUUUCAGCAAGGUAUUCUCUGCAAGUACUGAAAUAAGUGGUAACAGAUAGUUUUACGAUAAGAUAAAUGGUAAUGAGCAACAAGUAAUAGAAGUAAAUAAAGUGCAGCAAGGUGGCCCAAUCCUUUUUGUAGCAAAGGACAAGCCUGGACAAACUCUUAUGAUAGGAAAAGUGCUCCCGAGGACACAUGGGAAUAUCAUCAAGCUAGUUUUCAUCACGCUCAAAUGAUUCGCGUUCGGUACUUUGAUAAUUUGAUAUGUGGGUGGACCGAUGCUGGGGUACUGCCCUUACUUGGACAAGCAUCCCACUUAUGAUUAACCUCUAUUGCAAGCAUCCUCAACUACAACAAAAGUAUUAAGGUAAACCUAACCAUAGCAUGAAACAUGUGGAUCCAAAUCAGCCCCUUACGGAGCAACGCAUAAACUAGGGUUUAAGCUUCUGUCACUCUAGCAACCCAUCAUCUACUUAUUACUUCCAAAUGCCUUCCUCUAGGCCAAAUAAUGGUGAAGUGUUAUGUAGUCGACGUUCACAUAACACCACUAGAGGUUAGACAACACACAUCUUAUCAAAAUAUCGAACGAAUACCAAAUUCACAUGACUACUAAUAGCAAGACUUCUCCCUUGUCCUCAGGAACAAACGUAAUUACUCACAAAGCAUAUUCAUGUUCAUAAUCAGAGGGGUAAUAAUAUGCAUAUAGGAUCUGAACAUAUGAUCUUCCACCAAAUAAACCAACUGGCAUCAACUACAAAGAGUAAUCAACACUAGUAGCAACCUACUAGCACCAAUCCCGGACUUGGAGACAAGAAUUGGAUACAAAAGAUGAACUAGGGUUUGGAGAUGAGAUGGUGCUGAUGAAGAUGCUGAUGGAGAUUGCCCUCUCCCGAUGAGAGGAGCGUUGGUGAUGACAAUGGUGAUGAUUUCCCCCUCCCAGAGGGAAGUGUCCCCGGCAGAAAAGCUCCGCCAGAGCCCUAGAUUGGUUCCGCCAAGGUUCCACCUCGUGGCAGCGGAGUCUCGUCCCGAAAGGUUCUCUCUGAUUUUUUUCUCAUCGAAAUACUUCAUAUAGGAGAAGAUGGGCGUCGAAGAGCCACCAGGGGGCCCACGAGGUAGGGGGCGCGCCCAGGGGGGCGCGCCCAGGGGGGCGCCCCCACCCUCGUGAGCAGGGUGUGGGCCCCCUGGCCUUCAUCUUUGGCGAAGAUUUUUCUUUAUUUAUUCUAAGGUAUUCCGUGGAGUUUCAGGACUUUUGGAGUUGUGCAGAAUGGUCCUUCAAUAUUUGCUCCUUUUCCAGCCCAGAAUUCCAGCUGUCGGCAUUCUCCUAUUCAUGUAAACCUGGUAAAAUAAGAGAGAAUAGCCAUAAGUAUUGUGACAUAAUGUGAAAUAACAGCCCAUAAUGCAAUAAAUAUUAUCAUAAAAGCAUGAUGCAAAAUGGACGUAUCAACUCCCCCAAGCUUAGACCUCGCUUGUCCUCGACGAAAAGCCGAUAACAAUAAAUAUGUCCUCAUGUUUAGAGGUAGAGGCGUCGAUAAAAAUAAAAUACGGACAUGAAAGCAUCAUGAUUAUUUCAUAAGAGCAACAUAAAUAGAUUUUUUCAUAUGAUUACUCAUGUUCAAGUAGUGAUCUAUUCACAAAGCCAAAGCAUGAAUCAGAAACAUUAUUGGGCACUAACAAUUAUACUCUCAGUCAUUGAAGCAAUUGCAAGUUAUCAUAACAUCAGAAAGAGUCUAUGUCAGAGCUUAAAAGCAAGUCCACAUGCUCAACUAUCAUUUAGUCCUUCAUAAUUGCUAGCACUCACGCGAUACUUGUGGUUACGGAGUUUUAAUCGGACACAGAGAAAGAUAGGGGCUUAUAGUUUUGCCCCACAACCUUUUACCUCAAGGGUAAUGUCAACAAUAAUAAUUCGUGCUCCCCCACAUCCAAUUAGAUAUGUAUAUCAUACUCUUUCCAACAUGCUGAGCUUGGCAAAGGAUAAAAUGAAAAAGGAAUGGUGAGGAUCACUGUGACUCUUGUAAGGUAGAGGAUAAUAAUAAAAGAUAGGCCCUUCACAGAGGGAAGCAGAGGUUGUCAUGCGCGUUUAGGGUUGAUGCACAAAAUCUUAAUGCAAAAGAACGUCACUUUAUAUUGCCCCUUGUAUGUGAACCUUUAUUAUGCAGUCCGUCGCUUUUAUUGCGUCCACAACAAGUUCGUACAAAGCUUAUUUCUCUACAUUAAUAAAUCAUGCAUAUUUAGAGAGCAAUUUUUAUUGCUUGCACCGAUGACAACUUACUUGAAGGAUCUUACUCAAUCCAUAGGUAGAUAUGGUGGACUCUAAUGGCAAAACUGGUUUAAGGGUGUUUGGAAGCACAAGUAGUAUUUCUACUUGGUGCUAAGAAUUUGGCUAGCAUGAGGGGGAAAGGCAAGCUCAACAUGGUAGAGGAUCAAUGACAACAUACUUUAUCUCGAAUGUAAGAAAACAUAACUCAUUAUGUUGUCUUCCUUGUCCAACCUCAACUCUUUAGCAUGUCAACCCCACCCUCGUGAGCAGGAUGUGGGCCCCCUGGCCUUCAUCUUUGGCAAUGAUUUUUCUUUAUUUAUUCUAAGGUAUUCUGUGGAGUUUCAGGACUUUUGGAGUUGCGCAGAAUGGUCCUUCAAUAUUUGCUCCUUUUCCAGCCCAGAAUUCCAGCUGUCGGCAUUCUCCCUCUUCAUGUAAACCUUGUAAAAUAAGAGAGAAUAUCCAUAAGUAUUGUGACAUAACGUGAAAUAACAGCCCAUAAUGCAAUAAAUAUUAUCAUAAAAGCAUGAUGCAAAAUGGACAUAUCACAGGCCAAUCAUUGAUGGUGACAAACAAUAACGCUUGCAGGUCAAAUUCCUCCUGUUUGUGCUCAUCCCACACACGUACACCAUUUCCAAUCCACGCCUAUAAAAGUUCUUCAACUGAUGGCCUUAGGUGCACAUCAAUGUUGUUGCCGGGUUGCUUAGGGCCUUGGAUGAGAACUAGCAUCAUAAUGAACUUCCGCUUCAUGCACACCCAAGGAGGAAGGUUAUAGAUACAUAGAGUCAUAGGCCAGGUGUUGUGAUUGCUGCUCUUCUCCCCGAAAGGAUUAAUGCCAUCUACGCUUAAACCAAACCAUAUGUUCCUUGCGUCACCUCCAAACUCCUCCCAGUACUUUCUCUCAAUUUUUCUUCACUACGACCCAUCAGCGGGUGCUCUCAACUUCCCGUCUUUCUCACGGUCAUCUCUGUGCCAUCACAUCAACUUGGCAUGCUCUUUGUUUCUGAACAGGUGUUUCAACCAUGGUAUUGUAGGAGCAUACCAUAUCACCUUGGCAGGAACCCUCUUCCGUGGGUGCUCGCUGUCAACAUCACUAGGGUCAUCUCGUCUGAUCUUAUACUGCAAUGCACCGCAUACCAGGCAUCCUUCGAAACCUCGUACGCACCAUGGUACAUGAUGCAGUCAUUAGGGCAUGCAUGUAUCUUCUGCACCUCCAAUCCUAGAGGGCAUACAACCUCCUUUGUUGCAUAUGUACUGUCGGGUAAUUCGUUAUCCUUUGGAAGCUUCUUCUUCAAUAUUUUCAGUAGCUUCUCAAAUCCUUUGUCAGGCACACCAUUCUCUGCCUUCCACUGCAGCAAUUCCAGUACGGUAUCGAGCUUUGUGUUGCCAUCUUCGCAAUUCGGGUACAAACCUUUUUUGUGAUCCUCUAGCAUGUGAUCGAACUUCACCUUCUCCUUUUCACUUUCGCACUGACUCCUUGCAUCAACAAUGACCUGGCGGAGAUCAUCAUCGGGCACAUCGUCUAGUUCCUCUUGAUCUCAACAGCUUCCCCCAUUGUAGCAUCACCGUAUUCAGGGGUCACAUAGUUUUCAUCGUCCUCUUCUUCUUCGUUGUCUUCCAUCAUAACCCCUAUUUCUCCGUGCUUGGUCCAAACAUUAUAGUGUGGCAUGAAACCCUUCUCAAGCAGGUGGAUGUGAAGGGUUUUCUUGUUAGAGUAAGACUUUGUAUUCUCACAGAUAGGGCAUGGACAACACAUAAAACCAUUAUGCUUGUUUGCCUCACCCACUUCGAGAAAAUCAUGCACGCCCUUAAUGCACUUGGAGGUGUGUCUGUCACCGUACAUCCAUUGCCGGUUCAUCUGCGUGCAUUAUAUAUAAUUAAGUGUGUCAAAAACCAUUACAGAACAUCAUGAAUAGAUAAUUAAGUGACCAAAUUAAUAUAAGUUCAUCAUCAUAUUAAAACCAAAGUACAUACAUAGUUCUCGUUGAACAACAUAUAGCUCUCCAGAGCAUCUAAUUAAUUAAACCAUACAUUGAAACUAUGUAAAACAUUUCAAUGCGAAAACAAAUGCAAUCAUAAUCGCAACCAAGGUAACAAUUGAUCCAACGACAUAAUGAUACCAAGCCUCGGUAUGAAUGGCAUAUUUUCUAACCUUUCUAAUAUUCAAGCGCAUUGCAUCCAUCUUGAUCUUGUGAUCAUCGACGACAUCCGCAACAGGAAACUCCAAUAUCAUCUUCUCCUCCUCAAUUUUUUUUAUUUAUUCCUUCAAGAAAUUGUUUUCUUCUUCAACUAAAUUUAACCUCUCGACAAUAGGGUCGGUUGGAAUUUCUGGUUCACAUACCUCCUAGAUAAAUAAAAUCUAUGUCACGUUGGUCGGCAUAAUUGUCAUAAUCAAUAAAUGAACCAAAUAGUUAUAAAGAUAAUAUAUACCACAUCCGAAUCAUAGACAGGAUGAGGGCCGAUGGGGGCGGAUACCAAAACCAUCGCACUAAAUAAGAAGAAGAAAUAAUAAAAGUAAGAAAAUUAUACAAGUAUCAAUCUAAACAUACAAGUAAGAAUUUUUUUCCUUUCAGAAAGAACAAGAGGCUCACAACGGUGGUGCCGGCGACGAGAUCGGCGCGGGCGAUCAACGACGGUGAAGACGGGGAUGGGACGUGACGGACCGCUAAACCUAGACAAAUAUUGAGGAAAAUGGAUCUUGGAGGUCGAGCUUGGAGAGGAGAAAGCUUAAGUAGUGUUGCUCGUGCAUUCCAUCGAACACCUCAUGUGCAUAGGAGGUGAGCUAGAGCACCACAAAACCCUCCCCUCAAUGGCCAGAAAAAACAGAGCACUCCACUGCUAUGCUCGGGGCGAGGGGUAUAUAUAGGCAUCUCAUUGUCCCGGUUCGUGGCUGGAACCGGGACUAAAGGGAAACCUUUGGUCCCAGUUGAAGACACCAUCUGGGACCAAUGGUGGUGGGCCAGGAGCGAGGCCCAUUGGUCCCGGUUCGUCCCACCAACCGGGACCAAAGGGCCCAGACGAACCGGGACCAAUGCCCCCACGAGGCCCGGCAGGCCCCCUGGACUCAUGAACCGGGACCAAUGCCCCCAUGGGUCCCGGUUGGUGACUGAACCGGGACUAAAGGGCUUAUGUGGCCUGAAUGUAUGACAUGUUUUCUACUAGUGAAGUCAUCAAGAGAGUAGUAGCAACGAAACUAUAAUGAUCAUAAUGCUAAGCUUACGGAUGGGUCAUGUCCAUCACAUCAUUCUCCUAAUGAUGUGAUCCCGUUCAUCAAAUGACAACACAUAUCUAUGGUUAGGAAACAUAACCAUUUUGGUUUAACGAGCUAGUCUAGUAGAGGCAUACUAAAGACAAUAUGUUUUGUCUAUGUAUUCACACAUGUACUAAGUUUCAGGUUAAUACAAUUCUAGCAUGAAUAAUAAACAUUUAUCAUGAAAUGAGGAAAUAAAUAAUAACUUUAUUAUUGCCUCUAGGGCAUAUUUCCUUCAUUAGUAGCGGCUCCCAAGCGGUAAAGUAAAGAUUAUUGCUCCAUAGGAGUUUUUGUUUGAUUAUUUAUAAGUUCCUUUUGCAAUUUGGGACUUUGAAUCCCUAUUACCACCCCUUUUCUUAUGCAAUGGUGAAUGAAUAAACACUCAUCCUGAGAUUAACUCGCUUAGCAUAGAAGAUACCAACUACCUCUUGUCGCUCUAUGAACAAUCCAGGAACACAAAAAGGAUAUUUAUUUGAAGUUUUUAGAGGUGGCACAUGCAAAUUUACUUCGGACGGAAGGGUAAUACCGCAUAUAGGUAGGUAUGGUGGACUCAUCUAGAAUAACUUGGGUUUCAAGUUUUCGAUGUACAAGUAGAAUUCCCACUUAGUAUAGGCGAAGCCUAGCAAAUAGGUUGAUAAACGGACAACUAGAGAGCAAUAACGGUCAUGAACAUGCAUUAUGCAUAAGUAACAUUGGAUACUAGCAUGAGUAGGAUAUGAACACCAUGAACAUAAAUAUCAUAGAGGCUAUGUUGGUUUUGAUUCAACUACAUGCAUGAACAUGUGCCAAGUCAAGCCACUCGAACAUUCAGAGGAGGAUACCAUAUCAUCAUACUACAUCACAAUCAUUUUAACGCAAUGUUGACAUCCAAGAUAAAUCAUUAUCCACUCCUAGCUACUUAUGCAUGGCAUGAGAAACUAUAACAUCUAAUUGUCAUUGCAAAAAUGUUUGAUCAUAAUAGGUUGAAUCAUGGAUACUAGGUUAAACAUAUUUACAAAAACAGAACAAGUCGAGUUCAUACCCAUUUCUGUCUGCCACGGCCAGUUCAUCGAAUAUCGUCAUUAUUUCCUUUCACUUGCACGACCAAACGAUUUGAAAAUAAUAAUAGUGCAAGAGUGCCAUGGACUAAGCUAGAAUCUGCAAGCAUUUUAUUCAAAAGGAGAAGACAAUGUAAUAUGGUCUCUUGUUAGACCAACAAUAAUUCAAAUGAGAGCCACUCAAUAUUUUCAUCGGGGUCUUCUCCUCGGUAAGACUCAAUAAAAAUAAAAGAGAUUCAGAGAAACACACUGAAAUAUUUUGGAGUUUUUGGUUUUUCAUAAACAACCAAAUAAAAAGGGCAAAGCACAAACGACAAAAAGUAUGCACACGGGAAAGCUCCCAACAAGCAAAAGAAGAACAAGAAAAUCUUUUUGAGUUUUAUUUUUAGAUACUAUAACUACUAGUCUAGAAAGAAAAAUCAAAAAGAAGCAAGAGAUAUGUUUUUGGAUUUUCUCAAAGUUUUUCAAACACACAAGAAGAAAGCGAGAAAAUAAAUUUAACAUGGAUAAUACAAUGAAAAAGUGUGAACACCGACAACUGGAAUGAAAUGUGUGAACAUGAAUGUAAUGUCGGUCGAAAUACGUACUCCCCCAAGCUUAGGCUUUUGGCCUAACUUGGUAAUCAAUCAGUACCCUGUGUAAUGGUUGGAGUGGUAGCUCACGGAGGCUCUCGGUGCGGAUGCCUCAGCCCGUCGUGCAGCCACAACCGUUGCGUUAUGAGCUCAGGCCUCGCUCUCAAGAACAUAAUAUCUUCCUGUGUUGUGAACAUUAAAGAGAGCAGGUGCAAGCAAAUAUGUGUCCACCACGGAGUCCAUAUUAAACAGCAAUUUAUAAGUGAAAUUAUGGGGACCACCUCUACAGAUCUUACGACAUUUCAUAACAUCAAAGUCUAGGUAUUGCGUGGGUAAAAUAGGAUCUUAGGGCAAAGUUGAAACACCCAGCUCUCUUGCUAAGUGUGUGGCAUAAAUUCCACCAUAAAAAUAACCACUACCGGUGUUGUCUUGCAAUAUGCGUGCAACAAUUUCUCGUAGAUUAUAACUUUUCUCACCGCUGAGAGUGGUGCGUAUGAGGCUCAAGUAUGGAGCACAAAGUGUACUACAAUCUUGUUUAUACAAUAUAUUUUCCAUUAAAUAAUGCGAAGUACUGGAUUGCGGGAAAAUGAAUGCUCUUUAUUCUACCUUGCGUCACUCCCUUAGUCUCACCAUAACAAAGACUAGUCAAGAAUAUCUCAAACUCAGACCUUGGCAGUUCAUCGAGCAAACCCCAGAAUGGGAUUUUUGUAGUGGUGACCUAAUCUUUCUAAAGAUAUGGUAAAUGGAUUUUCAUAUAGUUUAAAUGACACCCUAGACUCACGGGGAUGGAACUUAAAUCCUAUGAAAAAUGAUUCAGUGAGAGUGAGAUGUUGGUUGCACUUAUCUAAAAUGUAGGGACCGAGAUCGACAUUGUGAACAUAUUGCUCAAAUUCCUCCUUAAUGUCCACACUCACCAUAUAAUCGUUGCAUGGCCAUAAGCAUGUGUUAGUGGCGGCAUCUCGAAUGGAACUUUCACUCAGUUCACAUAAGACCGACGAGCGGAGCUGCUACUAGAGGGUGCCUUCGAGGAUCUCCUCCUCGAAGAACUUCUUCCAAAAAGGUUCAUCAUAUUCGCGACAAUUUUCUUAAAAUUUUGGGUCACAAUUUUUUAUCAACAUAACUUUACAAAAAUGAUAGCAACUACUCAUAGGGAUGUAUAGAGGCCAAAGCAAGCAUUCAAACUACCUAGAACUCUAAGAAUUCGACAUGGAAGCUCAUCUACAGUAGCACCAAGAGUAGGUAAUUAUUCAAAAUAUAAACCACUAAAGGAAAAACUAAUUGGACACAUGGAGGAGUCACAUACAAAGCAACAAUUCCCCGAAACAGUUUCAGAAACGGAGCUUCGAGCAAAGAGAUCGAAAUCCGCAGUUUCGGGAGCAAGAACACGAGAGAGCAAUGGUCGUUUUUUCUGGAGGUAGGUUAUGAUAUCAGAUGAAGAGAUAAGUGAGGGGGCCCACAUGGGGACCACAACCCACCAGGGCGCGCCUGGGGGUCCUGGCGCGUCCAGGUGGGUUGUGCCCACCUGGUGCUCCUCCCUCUGGUAUUAUUUGCACCAUAAAUUCUUAAAUAUUCAGGAAAAAAAUUGUAUUAAAUUUUCAGAGCAUUUUGAGAAGUUUUGUUUUUGAGUCAUUUUUUAUUGCAUGGAAAACUCAGAAAACAGACAAAGCAUGACAUUUUAUUUUAUUUAACUAAGAAAAACAAAAAAUAAAAGGUAGGGAUAGAAGGUAGUACUCACUAAAUUCAUCAACUUCAUACCUUUAAAAAAUGAUCCAUUAAUAAGGUUGAUCAAGUCUUAUUAACAACAACUUUCGAUUGGCAUGAAACCGAAGAACUUUCAUGAAUCACUAGGUUACCUCAACAGGGAUUCAUACGUCUCCAACGUAUCUAUAAUUUUUUAUUGUUCCAUGCUAUUAUAUUAUCUGUUUUGGAUGUUUAUAGGCAUUUAUAUGCUAUUUUAUAUUAUUUUUGGGACUAACCUAUUAACCGAGGGCCUAGUGCCAGUUCCUGUUUUUUUCCAAUUUUAGAGUUUUGCAGAAAAGGAAUACCAAACGGAGUUCAAACGGAAUGAAACCUCCACGAUGAUCUUUCUUGGACCGAAAGCAAACCAGAAGACUUGGAGAUGAAGUCGGAGACGCAAUGAGGCGGCCACGAGUCAGGAGAGCGCGCCCAGGGGGUAGGGCAUGCCCCUACCUCGUGGGCCCCUCGUAGCUCCCCUGACCUAGUUCCUUCACCUAUAUAUGCUCUUAUACCCUGAAAACAUCCAGGAGAGCCAUGAAACCACUUUUCCACCACCGCAAUCUUCUGUACCCGUGAGAUCCCAUCUUGGGACCUUUUCCGGCGUCCUGCCGGAGGGGGAUUCUAUCAUGGAGGGCUUCUACAUCAGCACCAUUACCUAUCCAAUGAAGCGUGAGUAGUUUACCACAGACCUUCGGGCCCAUAGUUAUUAGCUAGAUGGCUUCUUCUCUCUCUUUGAUUCUCAAUACCAUGUUCUCCUCGAUGUUCUUCGAGAUCUAUUCGAUGUAAUAUUCUUUUGCGGUGUGUUUGCCGAGAUCCGAUGAAUUGUGGAUUUAUGAUCAGAUUAUCUAUGAAUAUUAUUUGGUUCUUCUCUGAAUUCUUAUAUGCAUGAUUUGAUAUCUUUGCAAGUCUCUUCGAAUUAUCGGUUUAGUUUGGCCUGCUAGAUUGGUUUUUCUUGCAAUGGGAGAAGUGCUUAGCUUUGGUUUCAAUCUUGCGGUGUCCUUUCCCAGUGACAGUAGGGGCAGCAAGGCACAUAUAACGUAUUGUAUUGUUGCCAUCGAGGAUAAAAAGAUGGGGUUUUCAUCAUAUUUUUUUUUUGAACUGAGGUUUUCAUCAUAUUGCUUGAGUUAAUUCCUCUACACCAUGUCAUCUUACUUAAUGCAUUGCUCCGUUCUUAUGAACUUAAUACUCUAGAUGCAUGUUGGAUAGCGGUCGAUGUGUGGAGUAAUAGUAGUAGAUGCAGGCAGGAGUCGGUCUACUUGACAUGGAUGUGAUGCCUAUGUUCCUGAUCAUUGCCUUAGAUAUUAUCAUAACUAUGCGCUUUUCUAUCAAUUGCUCGGUAGUAAUUCGUUCACCCACCAUAAUAUUUGCUAUCUUGAGAGAAGCCACUAGUGAAACCUAUGGCCCCCCGGGUCUCCUUUCCCAUUAUAUUGAAUCUAUUUUACAUCUUACUAGUUUCCGAUCUACUAUUUUGCAAUCUUUUACUUUCCGAUCUAUAAACCAAAAAAUACCAAAAUAUUUACUUUACCCUUUAUCUAUCUCUAUCAGAUCUCACUUUUGAAGUGACCGUGAAGAGAUUGACAACCCCUUUAUCGUGUUGGGUGCAAGUUGUUGAUUGUUUGUGCAGGUACUCGGUGACUUGUGUGUUGUAUCCUACUGGAUUGAUACCUUGGUUCUCAAAACUGAGGGAAAUACUUAGGCUACUUUGCUGCAUCACCCUUUCCUCUUCAAGGGAAAAUCAACGCAAGCUCACGAGGUAGCAAGAAGUAUUUUUGGCGCCGUUGCCGAGGAGGUUUACGCCAAUUCAAGUCAAGAUUUGAUCUCCCGUCAACUUGCCAAUUUCUGGCGCCGUUGCUGGGGAGAUCUACGUCAAGUCAAGCCAUACCAAGUACCCAUCAUAAACUCUUCUCCCUUGCAUUACAUUAUUCGCCAUUCGCCUCUCGUUUUCCUCUCACCCACUUAUAAAAUGAUUUUCAAAAAUAUUUGCCUUUUCUUCGCCCUUCUUCUGUUCAAUAUUUUGUUCUCUUGUGUUACCAUGUGCCUUAUUUUUGCUUGCAUCUUCGCUUUCUAAAAGUUUAUGGAUCCUCAUCCACUUGCUAAUCUUUUUAACAGAUCCAAUUAUGUUGAACCAAUUUCUAGUGAUUUGUGUGCACUAUAUUAUGUUUAUGAAGAAACACUACAGGAAAUACGUCAACUUGUGACCUUCUGUCAGUGACCCUGGAAGAAUUCACUAGUAGAAAACGGAGCUAUAUUACCAGUUCGUAGGGGCCUUUAGUGCCGGUUCUGCAACCGACACUAAAGUGUGGUGACUAAAGCCCCCCCCCUUUAGUCCCGGUUCAGCAUGACCGGCACUAAAGGGCCACCACAUGGCACGAGGCACGCCGUGGUCUGGGGGACCUUUAGUCCCGGUUGGUAACACCAAGCGGGACUAAAGGAUUUUUUAAUUUUUUUGAAAUAAAACAAAAACUGCCCACCUACUGGGCCGACACGGCCUGCAUACGACUAGAAACCCAACCUCUAGUUGGGCCAGGAUGCAGGCCCGUAUGGCCCAGUAGGGCCCAUAGGGCAGAAUACUUGCAAUAGGCCCACAAAGGCCUGCUUAGAGAGGAGCUCGACACGGUAGCCGCGGCGGGGCUUAUAAACCGUGCGAGCUCCUCUCAACCAGCCAGGUGGGACUAAACAUUGUGCAUUGCGGGUGGCAGCGCACCCCUUUAGUACCGGUUGGUGGCACGAACCCGUACUAAAGGGGGGGUCUUUAGUACCGGUUGGAGCCACCAACCGUACUACAGGCCACCACCUCUUUAGUAUCGGUUCGUGGCACAAACCGGUACUAAAGGUUCGCCAUGAACCGGUACUAAUGAGUGCCGCCCGCCUAGCCAUUGGAACCGGCACUAAUGGUCACAUUAAUGCCGGUUCAAUUACAAACCGGUACUAAUGAGCUUCACAUUAGGUCCUUUUUCUACUAGUGAUUGGUCAUAAAUUUAUGACCAUUCUAGACCAAUUGGUCAAAAGCUGUUCGGGGGGCUGCAAACCCUAAACCAUAACGACCACUUUGGUCAGAAAGGUCGUAAUUUCAUUAGAGGAAAUGGUCGUAAAGCUGGCAGCAUUGUCCACUGCCUCACAUCUAGCUGAUAAUGACCAAUAAAAAAGGUAACUACACUUGAGUUCGAAUGCAUUAGGAUGAUUAGGCGGCCACCUCAGCAACCUUGCUUAUGUGUCAUUGUCUAGGUGUCAUUUUUUGCUUAAAUGUUUAUUUUCAACAGACAGGCGGGGCCCACUUGACAGCAGAUGGGCACACACUGACUGGCGGGGCCAAUUUGACACGCGGGGCCGAGCACUUAAUUCGCCCAAAAAUGAUGCGCGAGGCGGGACUCAAACCCACGACCUCGCGCUUCGCUUGCUCGUUCGCUACCACUGGGCUAGAGAGGGACAAUUGCACAUGUAUGGGAAUUUAUCUAUACAUUAUAUAAAACUACGGCUCUCUCAUAUCAUUGACAAGUCUCGUAUCAUUGACAAGUGGGACCUUCCGACCAGGUGGUAACGAACAGAGCAACACUUACUGUUUUUCUAGGUCUUCCGAUCAGGUGGCGGCAGGUGACGGCAGAGGCGACAACGGGGGCGGGGGCCGGCAGCAGAAGCAACCGGCAGGGGCUGGGGCGGCGACCGGCGGUGGUGUUGCCGGCGCCGCUCACCUCGACCACGACAGGAAUGGCGACCUCGCCGCUUGCCUCACCCACGACAGGAACGGCGACCUCGCCGCUCACCUCACCCACGCAUGGGGGACUCGCCGUCGCCGAGCAUGGGAGAGUCACCACCGCCGCAGGUAGACCUCACACGUAUGCACGCCUCUCCUUCCCCCCCCUCUCCUCUCCCCCUCCUCUCUAUUGAUGUUGAUGAUUUGAUGUAGAUUUUUUAGGAGAAUCUCCACACACAUACACUGAUUUGAUGUAGGUUUGUUGUAAGCUUGGAAAAAUCUCUUGGAAAAGUCAUUGAUGAAUUCGGUAGAAAUUGUGAAGAGAAUUUCUGUUGAUGAAAUUAUUAGGAGAAUUGUUGUUGAUGAAAUUGUUAAGAAUUCUUUUGGAAUUCUGUCAAUUGUUAGUGGUAAAUUAUGUUGUCAGCAAUCAAUAGAGCAGAGCUCAAGUUGGUCUUUCCCAGAAACAAGAUCCUAGAGUUGAUGUAGAUUUGAUGUUACACCUCUGAAAUUUCAGCCUCAAAUCUGUUAAAGAACCUGAAUGUUGAUGUAGAUUAGAUGUAAACUAAGAAAAAUCUGAUUGAUGUAGAUUUGAUGCAAUCUUGGAAAUGGCACUCAUGUAAAUUUACAGUGCUGUUAUUGUUGGUGGUUUAACCAAAAUAGUUCUUAGUGGCAGCAUAUAUUGUUAUUGUUGGUGGUUUAACGACCUCUGUUUUUUUGUGAACCAGCAUGUUUUAGUUAGCUUUUCUUUUCUCCCAUGUGAAAUCCGUAUUUACAUUUGAACUAAUUUUUAUUGCUCCCAUGUGAAAUCAGUAAACCAUGUGAACUGGAGUAUAGUAGUGAGAAAUUGGAAAUAGCUGAAUGUUGUGGUUAGGUAGUUAGCAUAUAAAGUUGGGUGCCUACCUUAUUUUCUGGAUUUUUAGCUACCAUUACUGCCAUCCGUUUUCUUUAAUUAACGUUGAUGCACUUAGAUUGAUUUGCCAAGUUGCAACAAUUUGUUGUCUUUGGCACAGGGACAGAAGCUGGAUUAGAAAAGGACUUAGAAAGUUUUCGACAGAACAUAUGAAAGGAGUUGAUGAUUUCAUGGCAUUUGUUCGGGAAAAUUUUGCCAACGAUGCUCACAUUCUUUGCCCAGUUUGCGAAUGACUCAACCGUUCAAGAAUGGCUCAAGGAAGAGUGGAAGAUCAUCUACUUCUUAAUGGAAUGUCGAGGACAUAUGCUAGAUGGAUAUAUCAUGGAGAACCUUUAGACUGACAACCUCAACAUUUUGAAGCUGAUACAGAGGCCCCUCAUAUGAUGGGUGGUGGUGAUGCUGGCAUUGAUUUCUUGGAAAAGGUUUUGUGAGAUAAUGCUAGUUUGGAGGAAGAGGGUGGGCAUGAACAUGAUAGGAUUCCUGACCUAUUAAAGGAUCUAUACGAUGCUGAAGAUCAUGCUGAUGGGCAGAAGUCGAUGUUUGCUGAGGUGUUAGAGGAGGCGAAGCGCACAACUCAUGAAGGGGGUAAAUUUUCAAGAUUUACCUUCACUGUGAAGUUACUCCACAUCAAGUCUUUCUACCAGAUUAGCUAUGCUGCAUUCAAUGCAAUACUCCGCCUUUUGAGCUUGCAAUUCCCUGAUAGCUGUGUUCCCAGGUCUUAUGAUCAAGCAUUGAGCAUAAUCCGCAGGCUGGGGCUAGAUUAUGUUUCAAUACAUGUGUGCCCAAAUAACUGUGUCUAGUUUCAGAAGGAUUUAGCAAAGCAUGACAACUGUCCAAAGUGCAAUGCCUCUAGGUGGAAAGAUGCUGAUGGGAAGAAUUCAAUACCAGAGAAGGUACUGAGGCAUUUUCCGUUGAUACCAAGGCUGCAUCGGAUGUUUAUCUCGAAGAAAUCAUCGCUGGAGGUACAAUGGCACAAGCUGAAGCGGCAACCUGUGGACAAUGAGCUGAGCCAUCCAGCGGACGAAUAGGCAUGGAAAGAGUUUGACAGUAAACAUGUAGAUUUUGCUGCAGAUCCAAGGAACAUAAAACUUGGCAUUGCCACAGAUGGAUUUAAUCCAUUUGGGAACAUGAGCACGUCUUAUGGCAUGUGGCCCAUUUUUGUGGUGCCAUACAACCUGCCACCAUGGGCAUGCAUGGAUCAGUCCAACGUCAUGAUGUUGUUGCUUAUCCCGGGUCCAGAGUCUCCAGGAAAGGAUUUUGAUGUCUUUAUGGAGCCCCUCAUAGAAGAACUGCUCCAUCUCUGGACUGGUGUACCUACAUACGAUGCCUUGAGUCUGAAAGAAAAGUUCAAUUUACGUGCCGCAAUCAUAUUGUCCAUCCAUGAUUUCCCGGCGCUGCACACUCUGUCUGGGAGGAUCACAGCGGGUUAUCAGGCCUGUGUCCAUUGUGACAAAGACCCUUUCUCAAAGAGAAUAAGGAUCAAGAUCUGCUAUAUUGGGCACCGCCGCUUUCUUCCCCGAAACCAUCGCUGGCGAAGAAGCAAAGAUUUUAAUGGUGAGAAUGAAACCCGUGACAAGUCGGCUGAAUUCACUAAAGAAGAGCUAGCACAGCAACUUGAAAAGGUGAAAGAUGUGAGACUAGUAAAGCUUGCAAAGAAAAGAAAGCGUGAGGAAGGUCAAUGUUGGGACCAGAGGUCUUGUUUGUGUGACCUGCCAUACUGGGUUGUUCUGAAAUUAAGGCAUAAUCUCGAUGUAAUGCACAUUGAGAAAAACAUAUGCGAGAAUCUGCUAGGGACGUUUCUGAACAUUGAAGGGAAGACAAAGGACACGAUUAGUUCUAGGCUUGAUUUGGAGGACAUUGGCAUAAGAGAAGAUUUGCAUCUACAGCACAAUGAAGAUGAAGAUUCAUUUGAAAAUGCCAUGAGCAUGGUAUACAAUGAGUAAAGAACAAAAGCUUGCAUUUUGUGAAUUCCUAAGAGCGGUGAAAUUUCCAGAUGGUUAUGCUACUAACCUAGCAAAGUGUGUUACUUCUGAUGGAUUCAAGCUUUCAGUACUGAAAACCCAUGAUUGUCACAUCCUCCUCCAAAGCAUUUUACCGGCAGGCCUCUGAGGAAUCAUGGACAAGGAUAUAUAUGAAGCGGUUACUGAGCUGGGAAAUUUCUUUAGAGAACUGUGCCGCAAAACACUCAAGUUAACUAUCCUGGAAAGACUUGAAAAAGAAAUCCCAGUUAUUCUUUGCAAGCUCGAGAAGAUUUUCCCUCCAGCUUUCUUCACCAUGAUGGUCCAUUUGGCGGUGCACUUACCAAAAGAGGCAAUGCUUAGAGGCCCUGUGCAAUACGGUUGGAUGUACCCAAUCAAAAGAAGGUUGCUUACCUGUAAGCGUUAUGUGCGAAACACGGCAAGACCUGAAGGUUCGAUUGCUGAAGCAUAUGUCAUUGACGAGUGCUUGACUUUUUUCUCUAGAUACUUUGGCGAUGUGGAAGCAAGAUGGAACCAGCCGAGCAGAAAUAGAGAGCGGUCUGAUUCGCAAAGUGGAGAUGUCUCUGUUUUCAACCAUGGUGUGAACUUUCUUGGGGUCUCACAAUACUUGGAGGCUUGUGAUGAGUAUGACAAGAUGGUUUGGUAUGUGCUCAGCAAUUGCGCCGAGGUUCUACCAUAUAUCGAGUACGUUAUAUCUUGUGAACUCAUUAUAUAUAAUUUUUUUGCUUGGGUUGGCACCAGCCUAAUGUUUUAAUUCACAUGUUUUGUUGGCAUUGCAGGAAAUGCAAGGAAGAGUUAAAUUAGGAAGAAAGCAAUAUCGAUGUUGAUAAAAGGGUUACCAAGGGGUUUGCUAAGUGGUUUAAGAAUCAUGUGAGAUCUUUAGCCACAUGUUUUAUGUUUUCUGUGUUAUUCACCAACUGUUAAAUACCAUUGUUGCUAAAUGGUUUAUUUGUGCAGAUUGGAAAGUUGCAUGAGAAGAAGAAGGUCAGUGAUGAUAUAUUUGCUUUGGCAUGCUUACCGGAUAAGCGAGUGAGAGUGUAUUCAGCCUGCAUUGCUGACGAUGUCCGGUACCACACUAUUGACCGCGAGGAAAAAGGGAAGACAUGGAAUAGUGGAAUCAUCACUGAGGGGUCACAUGAUCGUGAGAUCAUUGACUUCUAUGGUCAGUUGAGAAGCAUCGUUAGAGUUGCAGUACAACUCUAGUGGAGGCAUCCAUCGCUCGGUUGUCUUAUUUCGUCGCGUCUGGUUUGAGCUUGGUAGCAAGAAGAAGAGAGACUCUUUUGUCAAAUAUGAUUGCCACUUCAAAAGCAUCAACAUUGCAAGGUGCUGCUAUAAGAGUGAUCCCUUUAUUCUAACAACACAAGCAACAAUGGUGUUUUAUUUGCCAGACACUCUCUUGCAUGGAAAAUGGCGAGUUGUGCAAAACUUUGAGCACAGAAACUUGUGGAGUGUGACUGAAACUGAAGUGGAAAAGGGCCCCGGUGGUGGUGGACUAACAUACCAGGAUGAUAACUCUAUGGAAGUUCCGUUGCAAGCUGAUGAUGACUCUAUGGAAGUUCCGAUGCAAAGAAGAGUGCGAAGGGACCGGGAACGUGUGCUCGUUGAUGCUGCAACAGUUGAAGGCAUCAAGAAAAGAAGAAAGGUGGUAGCGGAUGGACAUGAGAGCGAGGAUGAGGAAAAACAAGACUGAUCAUACUAUGCUGCAAUAUUGUAGUGAUGAUGAGGAAAACAGGAGUGGGCAUAGAGUUCCUUGUUUUUGUAUCGACGACAAUGAGUAACGAAGGUAAAUUUUGGCUCCUUGGUGAGCUAAUGCUAUUACUACAUGUUCCUGAUGUAGUUUUUGUACUACAAUUUCUUCAAGUAGCAAAAUGCAUGAGACUGAUGGUUGUAGUGAUGGAGAGGCAGAUGAUGUUUCAGGGAAAAUCAUGUAGUUUUGGUGAUCAUGAUGGCUCUAGUGAUGGAGAGGCAAAAUGCAUAGUGGCUCUAGUGAUGUAGUUUUGGUGCCAUUUUCUUAGUUUUGGUCAGAACUGUUGGUUGUGAUGUGAUCCUGAAGUUGUAAUGCAAAAUGAUGUUGCAAUUAUCCUGAAGUUUUUUUGAACUGAAUUGAAAUGUUGUUUUCAGAGCUAUUUUUCAUACUAUUUUCAGCGAUAGUGAUGUUGGUGCAAAAUAGCGAUGUUGUUUUUGGUUGUGAUGAUGAAGAUGUUGUUGUUGGUACAGUGCAAAAUGAUGUGAUGGAGGGCUGUUGUUUUGGUGCAAAAUGAUGAUGUCUAAAUAUUUUGAACUGAAUAUUUUGCAAAAUGAUGAUGGAGGACUGUUGUUUUGAUACAAUGCAGAUAGUGAUGUUAUUUUUUGUAAUGCUUGAAGAUUGCAAAAUAUUUUUCAUGAAGUUUUUUGAACUGAAUUGAGAUGUUGUUGCUUUAACUGUAUAGAAACUAAAUUAUGUCUGAAUAUAAAAAAAAUUGCGCGAGCAGGGACUUGAACCCACGACUGAGCGCAUGUUUCACCUUGUCCACAACCACUGAGCUAGCAAGAGAAUGUUGAUAAUUUGCCUAGUUAUUUCACUAUAUACUCGAACCCACGAGCUAGCAAAAGAAUAUUGGCACGCUGCAUCAGAUCCGUUUGACCCACGUGCGGCUCCAUCAGAUAGGCGGCCAAAAAAUAAUGCGCGAGCGGGGGCUCAAACUUAUGACCGAGCGCUUAUUUCACUUGCAUUCUACCACUGGGCUAGGAAGAGGAUGUUGGCUGAGUACAGGAACAUUUUACUAUAUCAAAUAGAACUGGCUGACAAGUGGGACCCACUCCCCCUCUCUAUGUCAAAUAGAACCCUAAUCCAAACUGCCUGUCAAUUGCCCGACACUUCUCCUCCCUUCUCCUCCAUCGAUGGUGACGGCGACGACAUCCCCUUCUCCUCCAUCGACGGCGACGGCAUCCCCUUCUCCUACAUCGAUGGUGACGCUCUGCUCCUCUCCCUCCCCACCACCGCCGACACCGGCGCUGGCUCCUUCCUCUCCCGCAGUCGUAUGAAUCCGCCGCUGACUCCUCCUCUCCAUUUGGUUUUCCGCUGCUGUUUAGAUUAGGGUUCGACUCCAUUGAAUUAGGGUUGAACUGGUUGGAUUAGGUUUUGAUUAGGGUUGUUGGAUUAGGUUUUGAUUAGGGUUGGAUUAGGGUUCUUUCCGCCGCUGUUGUUGUGUUGAACUAAGCUGAUUAGGGUAGGAUUAGGGUUGGAUUAGGCUUCUGCUGAAGUCAAGAGGAUAUGGUUCUCCACUGAUGUUCUCCACUGAUGUACUUCUCUCUGAUAUGGGUUGGAUUAGGCUCAGUGUUCAAUUAUAGAUAUAGAUAUAUUCAUUUAUAGAUAUGGGCAGAUAUGCCUUUUAUAGUAGACAUGGGCAAAUAUGGUCCUUUUAUAGUAGCAAUAUUUUUUUCCAUUGAGAUUGAGAUUGAAUAUUUGUGUAGUGGGAUUGAACAUUGAGAUUGUUUUAUGUUUCUUUCAAUAAUUUGUGUGGUUCAUUUUCUGAAGUAAACUGGAGAUGUUAGAAAUUUGAUGGUUGUUGUUCAGAUAUCUCCACUUAUGAACNNNNNNNNNNNNNNNNNNNNNNNNNNNNNNNNNNNNNNNNNNNNNNNNNNNNNNNNNNNNNNNNNNNNNNNNNNNNNNNNNNNNNNNNNNNNNNNNNNNNNNNNNNNNNNNNNNNNNNNNNNNNNNNNNNNNNNNNNNNNNNNNNNNNNNNNNNNNNNNNNNNNNNNNNNNNNNNNNNNNNNNNNNNNNNNNNNNNNNNNNNNNNNNNNNNNNNNNNNNNNNNNNNNNNNNNNNNNNNNNNNNNNNNNNNNNNNNNNNNNNNNNNNNNNNNNNNNNNNNNNUUGAUGGUUUCUAAACAUGUGCCUUAAUACCUUUUCUGUCAUUUGGUGUCCGUGGAUUGAAAUGUUGUUGUUAUAUAUUGAUUGUAGUAUAUUUGUGCCUUAAUACCUUUUCUGUCAUUUUUGCAUGUUAAUUCAGUGUUUGUGUUGAUUUUAUGCCAAAGUUCAGAAACAAUAUUUUGAUGGAUGGGUUUAUGUGUUCUGCAAAUUGAGGCCAUUGCCAUUUAUAGUACAUUUAUAGAUAUGUUCAGAUAUGUUUAUGCCAAUGUUCAGAUAUGGAUGGGUUUGGAUAGGGAUAUUUUCUGUCAUUUAUGCCAAUGUUUAGAUAUGUUAAUUAAUAGAUAUGGAACAAUGUCCAGUCCUGUUUAUAGUUGUGUCAUGUUUAUAGCUUUUGGUCCAUUUAUAGUAGAUAUGGUUCAAGUUGUGUUCUGGUCCAUUUAUAGUAGAUUUUAGUGUUGGUGGUGGUGGUGAUCACCUGAUGAUGUUGCUUUUGCUGUUGUUAUUCUUGUUGGCCCUGGCAAACACAUGUAGUAAAUAUUCUACUUUUUUGAAGUGCUUGUUUCCUAUUUAUGUCCAGUCAUGUUUAUGGUAACUUGAUGCUUAAUUACAAUGUUGUUUUUCAGAGAAGUGAGAUGGCUGGCUUGAAAGGUUUCGAGUUCUUCGAGAUCGUAACUGAGAAAUCUUGAAGUAGGCAGGUAUAUUCAAGACAAUAUCUCCCCUUCACCCAUCUCUUUAUCAUCACUCUGCUUCUACUUCUUGAUUAGCACAAUUAACCACUGCUUGACCCUCGUUGCAGAGGCUGCCUAACAAGUUUGCGAAGAUGCUCGCCGGCCAUGAGCCCCACAAAGUGAAGCUAUGGGAGGCCGGCAGCGGGUGUCGCAGGCUGUGGGACAUGUCGGUGGUGUUCGACGGCGAAGGCCACAUGUACCUAGGGCCCGGCUGGGAGCAUUUUGCCCGUGCCCAUGACCUGAAGCUCGGGCACUUCCUUGUCUUCCGCUAUGAUGGUGACACCCUGUUCACCGUGAAUAUGUUCGACAACACCAUGUGCCGCAUGUACUACAAGCACGACGAUGAUGCCAGUAAGCUAUCUGCCUCUCUUCUUCCUGUCCUUUUGGCUUCCUCUACAAGCACGACGACAACACCAUGUUCACACUUUGUUGCAUUUGGCCAGGCAAUGGGAGCAACAGCAGGGAUGACGAGGAGCAGAGUGGGGAUGACGAGGAGCAGAGUGGGGAUGAUGAGGAGCAGAGCGGGGAUGACGAGGAGCAGAGCAGGGAAGAGGAGGAGCAGAGCGGGGAGGUCAGCCUAUUCUAGCUGACGACGACCUUGCUAUGGUGAUGGCUGACAACGAACCUGCUAUGGUGGUGGCAGACGACGACUUUGCUAUGGUGGAUGACGACAACCUCGCGAUUGUGGUGCCUGAUGAUGACCUUGCUAUGGUCAUGCCUGACAAUAACCUCGCGAUGGUGAUGGCGCCGGUGAUCCCACAACUUGGUGACAGGACCAUGCCAAUUGUGGUAGAGGAGUACAUCUGCGUCGGGAUUCGCCACUCUGAGCGCAUCAGGUUGAUGAAGGAGAAGGAGGAGAACAAGUGAAGAUGUUAAGAAAUGAAGUGGCAAUGUUAAGCAUGUUAGGUUUAAGAUUGUUAGUGUAAUCUGAACAUGUCAAUGUUAAGUAUGUCAGGUUUAAGCUUGUUAGUGCAAACCUCUUAAGUAUGACAGUGUCAGCCAAGCUUAGUUUGAAUUGAUGAGAAUUGAAAUUUUGUGCAUGCUCAAGUAUGACAGUGUCAUCUAAACAUGUCAGUUUAUUAAUUAUGAAUAUUUGGUUUGGUAAUUGAUGGGAAUUGGAAUUUUUUGUGCAUGCCCAUGGAUGAAAGAUAAAAUUAUGGUUUUUUUGCAUGCUCAUGUAUGAAACAAUAUAAGUUUCAUUUUGUGAUUGUUAAAAACAUGGUUUUUCGUGAGGCGGCUACAAGGAUGGUCACCCCAAACGGCGCCAUUCCAUGUCACGGAAUGGCUUGCCCUAGCAACCGGCAAAGGUAAAAACCGGAUUUCAUCACAGAACCAACAACAGAUUUGCAUGACUCAAACCCUAGCCACGGACGGCCGCCGCGACGAAAUCGGCCGGUUUUUUGGAAACACCAUAAGAAAUGAGAGACCCCCGUGUCACAUCCUCAAAUGUGGCCUACCAACUAGCAAAAAUACUAAACUUGGAAUACCGAUGUUUUCUUGAAAAGGUGUUCUAAAAAACGACCUACCAUGAACGAAGAUUCAUGGCUUUCAACCCAAACUAGCAAUGAUAUGGCCACAUUCAUUGAAUAGUUUAUGAUAAUAUGCCCAAAUUUGGCUCAUGCCUCCGUCUUACGGUGGCAUACAAUGUUGCCAAAGCUAGGUUCCAACUUGUUUCACAAAAAACCGUUUUUCAUUUUUUUAAUGCUAAAAACAUGCAUUUUUCGUGAAGCGGCUACAAGGAGGGGCUCCCCAAAUGGCGCCAUUCCAUGACUAUCUCAAAGUAGACCCUAUUUUACGGACGGUCGCCAAAAAUCAUGCACUUCUGACCCUCGUAGCUACUCCUGGCCAUUCAGACAACCUUCGGCCGAUUCAGCUGGAACCGGCUGGAAUUUGACCUGCGGGUCCUCCAUAGCUUGCCCGUUAUUUUUGCUAAAAAUCCUUUUUAGCUUCACAGGUAGGCAUUUCAUCACAGAAUCAUCAACAGAUUUGCAUGACUCAAACCCUAGCCACGGACGGCCGCCGCGACGAAAUCGGGUGGUUUUUGAAAACACCGUAAAAAUCAAAAAAGAGUCAAAAAAAGAGAGAUCACCGUCUCACAUCAUCAAAUGUGGCCUACCAACUAGCAAAAAUACUAAACUUGGAAUGCCAAUGUUUUCUUGGCUUUCAAGCCAAAUUAGCAAUGAUAUGGCCACAUUCGUUGAAUAGUUUGUGAUAAUAUGCCCAAAUUUGGCUCAUGCCUCCGUCUUACGAUGGAAAACAAUGUUGCCAAAGCUAGGUUCCAACUAGUUUCACAAAAAAACCGUUUUUCAUUGUUUGAACGCAAAACAUGCAUUUUUUGUGAAGCGGCUACAAGGAGGGUCUCCCCAAACGGCGCCAUUCCAUGACUAUCUCAAAGUAGACCCUAUUUUACGGACGUUCGCCAAAAAUCAUGCAUUUCUAACCCUCGUAGCUACUCCCGGCCAUUCAGACAACGUUCUACCAAUUCAGCCGGAACCGGCUGGAAUUUGAACGGCGAGUCCUCCAUAGCUUGCCCGUUAUUUUCGCUAAAAAUCAUUUUUAGCUUCACAAGUAAGCAUUUCAUCACAGAAUCAACAACAGAUUUGCAUGACUCAAACCCUAGCCACGGAUGGCCGCGGCGACGAAAUCGGGCGGUUUUUUAAAACACCGUAAAAAUUCAAAAAAGAAUCAAAAACAAAUGAGAGACCGCCGCAUCACAUCAUCAAAUGUGGCCUACCAACUAGCAAAAAUACUAAACUUGGAAUACUGAUGUUUCCUAGAGCUAUUUGGUAUGAUUUUAACCAUGAUUUCUACAAAGUUUACAAAAAAACACUAAAUUUUUCUGCCUCCAAGCCUCUAAAAACUGGUGAACAUUUCCCUCCCACCCCACCAAAAUUUCCCUCCUAGCACCAAAUUUUCCGUCCCACCCCACCAAAAUUUCCCACCACUCCUCUCCCACUACCAUGGGGGACCCACCACCCCUAUCCCACUAAACACGCGGGAUCCCACUCCCCUCCCCUCCCACUCCCAAAAAUUUCCCCAUUCCAUUCCCCUCUCUCUCCCCAACGAACCCUAGCUUCUCCCCCCUUCCCUGCUUCGUGCUNNNNNNNNNNNNNNNNNNNNNNNNNNNNNNNNNNNNNNNNNNNNNNNNNNNNNNNNNNNNNNNNNNNNNNNNNNNNNNNNNNNNNNNNNNNNNNNNNNNNNNNNNNNNNNNNNNNNNNNNNNNNNNNNNNNNNNNNNNNNNNNNNNNNNNNNNNNNNNNNNNNNNNNNNNNNNNNNNNNNNNNNNNNNNNNNNNNNNNNNNNNNNNNNNNNNNNNNNNNNNNNNNNNNNNNNNNNNNNNNNNNNNNNNNNNNNNNNNNNNNNNNNNNNNNNNNNNNNNNNNNNNNNNNNNNNNNNNNNNNNNNNNNNNNNNNNNNNNNNNNNNNNNNNNNNNNNNNNNNNNNNNNNNNNNNNNNNNNNNNNNNNNNNNNNNNNNNNNNNNNNNNNNNNNNNNNNNNNNNNNNNNNNNNNNNNNNNNNNNNNACUCCCUCCCCUGCUCCGUGCCGCCCCACCACACCGUUGCGCCACCCCGCCGCACCACGACGUGCUGCCCUCCCCGACGACAAAUCCCCUCUCCUCGAUGGCAUCGCCCGCAUCGACUACGACGGUGGCUACAUCAACGACGGUGGCUACAUCAUCAACAUCAUCGAUGACGGCGUGAUCGACGAUGACCACCGCUGCAUCAUCAACAUCAUCUGCCCCUAGGUACUUCUCCAUCUCCCCUCGAUAUUCAGUGGAUCUAUCUUCCCUCGUCUGGUGGAUCCAUCUCCCCUCCUCUGGUGGUUCGGUGGAUCUUCUAGGGUUAGGAUCUUCUAGGGUUAGGAUCUCGUCGUCCUUGUUCAUGGGAUUAGGGGUCGUGCUUAUUGUUGCAUGGGGAAUUGGGGAUGAUCCCCGUCUGGUUCAUGGGGUUAGGGUUAGGGUUCAUGGGGUCAGGGUUAAGUUUCAUGGGAUUCGUGGGGAUGAACUCCCUCUGGUUCAAGCAGAAGACAUCGGGGUUAGGGUUCUUGUUGCACGCCAUUUCAGUAGAUGUUGUAGGGGUUUGCAUGGUGAUUGAUAAAUCACUGCUGUAUCAGCAGCCCAUCUUGAUUGUUCAAGCAGAAGACUUCUUUAAUGAUGUGCCCAUGAAGCUUGUGUUCUUCUUUCUAGUGAACAAGAGAAUGCUUAGUACUUAUUGUGGCAUUGGAAUUCCUGGUGUGUUAAUUAAGGCAGUAUGAGUAGUUCUAAUAUAUACUAUAUUGGUUUUAGAUAAUUUUGGGUGAUGUAAUAUACAAGGUUGAUUCUAAUUGCCGAAAUGUUUGAACUUGUGUUCUUCUAGUCUGUAGCCAUUUUUGGUGUGUAGAGGCAACAUAAUCAAUAGUUGAGUAUAGUUUUUUCAUCUUCUUUUGUACUUCUGCAAGUAUAGUUGUUUCAUGCUUUACAAGUGGCAACAUCUAGUUGUUUUGAAGGUCCUCAUGAUUUAUUGUUCUAAAUUGCCUGCAUAAGCAUGAUUUCAAGGCCUACUAUUAUUGUUAACACUGCUUGCUUCUUUAUUCAUCAACUAUUGGGUAAUUAGUUGCUCUGAUUGCAUAAGCUUGCCUCCAUUAGGGAAAACAGUUGAGUAAUUCAUUUGCUUAUAGGUGAUUGCAGGUACAUGGAUAAAAUUGCAAGUUAAAACAUAAAAAUAAUUGUUGUAAAUAGUUGUUUUUGCUUAUCCACAUUGUUGAAGUAUAAUUCAUGUGCACUGUAUUUGUAUCCAACUAUAUAUAAUUGUAAUACAUGUGAGUUGUGUUCUUGUCUCUGGUACCACAACCUUAAUUCACUUAGCUUGAUGUAGUUUGCUUCACAUAUAUUACUGCUAAUGCAUUUCUUCACAUAUAUAGUUUGCUUCAAUUCAGUUGCUUGCUAGCGUACAUAGGGUUAGGGUUUGCAUCAGCGGUACUACUAGCACUUUGCUUGCUGGUUGUGUACUUUAUAUGAGGCACUAGGCAGAUUUCUUGAUGUACAUUACUACCUUGUGCUUGAUGUAGUGAAGAUAUUAAGAGAUGCUUCAUAUCUUUCCAGUGUACAUGCAUGCUUGUCUAGUGCAUUUACAUGUUUGCUUAUAAUUAAUAACACUAGAUCACUGUAUUGUUGAUCCAUCAAGUUUGCUUCACAUGUAUUACAUGUAUGUGCAUGAUGGUCCAAAUGCUUUCCUUUAUUGAUACAAGUGCAUCAUUUUACUUUAUCUCUGUUGUAUCUGAUUGUUGUUUAUUCUAUUUUGCAAGCACCACCUCAAGAUCAUCCAUGGCAAGGAGGACAAGGUCAAAUAUGAGGCCAACAGUUGGUAUGCAACUUGCUCCUUGUAGUUAUACUAUCAGUUUUAUAAAAUAUGUGUCUUAAUAUGCUAAGUGAAAUGUAUUGCUGCAAUCUGAAUAAGGUGGCUUAAUUGUGCAUGUGUUCUUUUAGUCUUCCUUACAUGAAUAACUAGGAUUAAAUGAUAAUAGAAUAUCAUAAGAUAUGUUUGGCUGGCUGUCCAUGCAUUCCAAACAUUCACCUAAUAGUUACAUUUCCCUUAUCAUGCAAAGAAGCGCCUAUGACCGAGUAUGAGAAGGUUAGGGCUAGAAAUAUGAUGAGGAACAAUCGGAUGUUCCAGUCCCUUGGCAUCGGUGCAAUAGCAUCAAUGAUUAGGAAAAAAAUGAUGUACAAGAAGGUAGAAGUGAUGAGGUUCAAGAAGGUAGUGGAGUUAUCAAUGAUGACCCCGAGUACAAUCCUAAGGAGGAUGAAGUUAUUGAUGGGGAGGAAGUGGAUGAUGUUGUAGUGCAGAAGAUUGUUAAGGUGCAAACUCUAUCUUGCUUGGAGGGUUGGGGUUCUUGUAUGCUCUGGGUUUCCUUGUGCUCACAUAUUUCUCUUGUGAUCUAAUGCUUUUUUCCGUGCUAUUUAUACGAGGCAUUGAAGGAAUCUAGGCCGAAGAGGCUUGGUGUUAAGAAGACAGUCAACAAGAAGACAGUCAGCAAGAAGAAAAAGAGCUCAGAAACAUCUGCUGCAAUGCCUCCAGGAAGGGUGAUGGCCCCAGCUCCAGGAAAAACAAAGAGGAUCCUGGAACCUGAUGAACCUGCUCCUGAUAGAGUCACAAGGCUGAAAGCAAAGAUGGCGACUGCGACGGACCAUCAGGAAAGUCUGUUGCGCAUGGACUCUGAGACCUCGGUGCAAAUGGGUGAUGAGUUCCUGCCCAUGGAUGAAGAAACCACUGUCCGCAUGGAUGAAAGUGGCACUGUCUGCCUAGAUGAAGGAGGAACUAUCUGCAUAGAUUAAGCGGGCACUGUCCACACAGACCUCAUCCCUGUUGCACCUUCUAUUGACAAGAAUGUUGUCAUCAAUGAAAAGAACAGCGGCUUGUGCUUCAAUCAGGCAAGUUGACCUUUGCAAUGCUCUCUUUUACUAGUGCAUUUUCCAAAUGGAAUGAUCAUGUACGCUUACCUGUUUAGCAGAACCGUUCCUGCAUUUGUCGAUUUCUAUUCUAAUUUAUGAGUUCAAUUUCAUUUUCAGAUGCGACGACUACCAAGACUACACUUAGAAAGGGCAAAUGGCUAGAGAGAAUCACCAAGUCGCUUGGCAGCAAGGUGCCUAUCCAAAUUGCCGAAGGGAUGAAGCGUCCAGAGAAGCCUCUGCAGGCAGCAAAGCUUGCUUUUGAGUGUGGACUCGUUGCAAGAAGUCAUCUGCCGGUUCUUCCUCACUUCAAGCUAUACAAAAAAAUGCUAGUCUAUUGGAGAACUACAUUGGAAAGUUGUUGUAAGCUACUUGCUUCGUAGUUAAUGUGCUAUCUAUUUUCUGUUACACCUAUGCAUGAACCAAUAUUGUUCCUACCUUGUUUGCUGUCUUGGUAGGCAAAUUUGGAGAUGAACACGGACUCGGAGACCAUCAAGACUGCGUGCAAAUAUAUUCUGCAGAAAAAUUCACAGAACAGACACCAUCAGAUCAAGAAGAAGUAUUUUGAUACCGUAGCCGCAAACAAAGUCAGCAUCAAGUCUCCGGUGCCAGAUCUGACGGAUGGUGAAUGGCAAGCUCUAGUGGAGAUGUGGUCUACCCCAACACACAAGGUUUGUCUCUGCUUCGUUUGCUGCUUUAUGUUGUGCACAUGAUAUGCUAGUGCUAGAUCAUGCUAACAGUAUGCUUUUUUGUAGGAAACCUGUGUGUCGAACAAGAUGAAUCGAGAAAAAGUCGUGUACAAUCAGAGAACUGGUUCCAGGCACUACACAACACACAUUUUUGCCACUGUGAGAACUUUUAUUUAGAGACCUUACCGUUUGAUCCUCGUUGAAUAACAUUUUUUAUUCUUGCUGAAUAACAUUUUGAUAUUUGUUGAAAAAUAUUUCAGAAAGAAGAGCACGAUUGACUUGUUUAAGGCCACCCACAAUAGCAAGAAGCACGGGUUUUCGGAGCCAGUCAAGACUGCUAUAGUAAGUCACUCUAUGCUUUGUCCAGCCAGUUCAAACAUUUGUUGUUGUUUGAUUCACAGCUAGCUUUGAUGCUGCUUGAUGCUUUGAUGCUAUUUGAUUUGGAGCCAGUCAAGAACACACACUAUGUUCCAUGCUUUGAUGUUGUUUGAUAGUUCAACAAAGAUAUCAGAACUUGUUGUAGCUAUUUGUUGCAUUUUUAUGAUAUGAUGAAAUUUGAUCUGGAUAAUAUUGUUUGAUGAUCGGCUCACUCGAAAAGCCAUCUUAUAUAGAACCACCAUUCUAGGCUUAAUGAAGCGAUCAUAUUGUUCCAAUUGCAUGUCUCCAAGUCACAUAAGUUACUAGUCAAAUAAUGUUGUCAAGUUACUAGAUUUUGUGUGUUGGUUUGGUUACUUCAAAUAAUACAUUUGUGUGCUGGUUUGGUUUCUCUUGCUUUUUUUGGUUUGCAAAAUGUGAAAUAGAUCUGCCACUAAUGCCUAUCAUUUUCCUCCAUGUGCUAGCUUGAGAUGGAAAAAAUGAAGGACGCGCUGGUACUAGAAGGUGAAGAGCCAAAGUCUGCUGCUGAAAUUGUUGAAGAAGUUCUCAAGACUAAAGUCAAGCAAAGCACAUUCCUCAGAAAUGUUGGGCUCCAAUCAUCUAGGAACAACUCCGGCAAAGCAACUGCUGCUGUGGCUGCUCAUGUUCGUGAUCUUGAGCAGAAGCUGGAGAGGUCGGAGCUUCAAGCUGAAGUGAUGCAAGAAGAAUUGGUGGCAAUCAAGAUGAAGGCGGAAGAAGCUGAAGCUGCACGCGACAAGGAACUUGAGCUGCUGCGCAAGAAGCCUCAAGAGCAGGAUGAGAAGUUAGCUCACUUGAUGGCUCUCUUUGGAGCUAAAGCAGUUUGAUGGCUUUGCAGUUUGUCUUUGAACAUGUCGUAGUAGGUCUUGAACUUAUGUCAUAGUAGGUCGUGAAUUUAUGCAGUUUGUUGCAUUUUGCACUUGGCAAGUGAACCUGGGAGCACUUAUCAACCUAGGAGCACUUGUUGUUGAACAAGUGGUGGUUGUGAAGUUAUGCCAUUUUGGAAGCUGUGAAGUUAUGAACCAGUGAAGUUAUGCAUUUUCUGAAUUAUUUGAGUUUUGUUUGGCUCACAGAAUAUUAUUUGGAUUAAUUGGGCUCUAAACUUAGUUGGACUGUAAAAAGGCCGAGGCCCAAACAAGAAUUAGACUAAAAAGGCUUGGGCCUAAAAAAAGAGUUGACUGUAAAAAAAUAGUUUGUAAAAGGCUGCAUCCCAGAAAAUAAAAGGCCAAGGCCCAAACUAGAACUAGACUAAAAAGGCUGUGGCCCAAAACAAGAGUGGACAAUAAAAAAAGUUCCCAAAAAAGGCUCCAUCCCAGAAAAUAAAAGGAAAAGUAUUGGGCUAGGCCCACACAGAUAAGCAAAAUAAAGAGAAAAAACAUUGGGCUGAAUUAUUGGGCUUGGCCCAUGUAGACGGCUGAAAUGGACCAGGCUGGUUCUAUUUUGCAACCUUUUCAUUUGGUCAUAGUUCUGCCACGUCAGCUUGCCACGGUGGAUCUGACGUGGUGUAGGCAGAUUGCUAGUGAACAAAAUAAUUCGUCGUUGAAUUUACGACCUUUUUUUGUCAUAAACGUCUACGACCAUUCCAGAAGAAAGGUCGUUAAUUUUAGUUUACGACAGUCAGCUUUUGACAAUCAGUUUUUGGUCACAAGAAGGUCACAAAUGGAAAACAAUGACCAUUCAGUGACCAAUAGUGAUGGUCACAAGUUGACGUAUUUCUUGUAGUGAAAUUUAUGAAGAGAUUCAUGAUAGCUUCUUGAAUAAAAAGCAUGAUUGCAAAGAUGUUAUUACAAAUUAUGUUAAUGUCAAUUGUGUUAAUAUUAUGCAAAACCCUAAGCUUGGGGAUGCUAGUUUUGCUAUGUCUACUACUUGUUGCAAUGAUCAUGAUUGGGGUAAUUCUUCUUAUGAUCUUGAAAAUUUAUUUAAGCCCCAUGAUGAAUAUGAGAUUGAUAAUAGUGUUUGCAAUAAUAUUGAAAGUGGGUUUGGAAGAGUGUCAACUUUAGAUCCCACAUACUGGGAGAAUGUUCAAUCUUAUGAUAUUUUUGAUAAAAGUGGGUUUGGAGAGGUCAUGACUUUAGUUAAUGUUAAUCCCAUUAUUUUGGAAGAGUGUCAACUUCGCAUGCAUGUGGAUCGUGUUGAUAGCUAUAUUGUUGAUUUGCUUAUGAUCCUACAUGUAAUUAAUAUGAGAGAGGAAAAUAUGGUUCUAGAAAUUUUUAUGUUACUAAAUUACAUCUAUUCAUGUUGAGAUUGCUAUCGUCUCUUUCUUCUUCCUUGUAUAUGCUAGUUUUUGCUUGCCUUGAUAAUUUGUUUACUUAUAAAAUUCCUAUGCAUAGGAAGUAUGUUAGACUUAAAUGUGUUUGUCACGUGAUUUAUGAUGCUCUCUUUGUGUUCAAAUUAUUAUCUUUCUUGUGAGCAUCAAUAAAAUAUUGUGCCUAGCUAAGGGCGUUAAACGAUAGCGCUUGCUGGGAGGGAACCCAAUUUUAUUUUUGUUCUUUGCUUUUUGCUCCUGUUUAGUAAUAAAUAGUUCAUCUAGCCUCUGGUUAGAUGUAGUUUUAUAUUUUAAUUAGUGUUUGUGUCAAGUAGAACCUUUAGGAUAGCUUACGGUGAUAGUUGUGUUGAUCCUACUGAAAAUCAGAAACUUUUGCGUUUACUAAAUUAGUUUUGAAACUUCCCAGAAACGUGCUUUUGAUCUGAUUCAUUUUUCUCUGGAUUGGUACACAAAUUGCUCAGGUUUUCCUAAUUUGGAUGAAUUUUUGGAGUUACAGAAGUAUUCGAGAGUUACAGAUUACUAUAGAUUGUUCUAUUUUUGACAUAUUCUGUUUUUCGCGUGUUGUUUGCUUAUUUUGAUGAAUCUAUGGAUAGUAUCAGGGGGUAUGAACCAUGGAGAAGUUGGAAUACAGCAGAUAUUACAUCAAUAUUUAUUUUCUUAUACUAACGGAGCUCAUGAGAUUUUCUGUCGAGUUUUGUGUUGUGAAGUUUUCAAGUUUUGGGUGAGGAUUUGAUGGACUAUGGAAUCAGGAGUGGCAAGAGCCUAAGCAUGGGGAUGCCCAAGGCACCACAAGGUAAUAUUCAAGUACAAACAAAAGCCUAAGCUUGGGGAUGCCCCGGAAGGCAUCCCCUCUUUCGUCUUCGUCUAUCGGUAACUUUACUUGAGGCUAUAUUUUUAUUCACCACAUGAUAUGUGUUUUGCUUGGAGCGUCUUGUAUGAUUUGAGUCUUUGCUUUUUAGUUUACCAUAAUCAUCCUUGCUCUACACAACUUUUGGGAGAGACAGGCAUGAAUCAUGAUUUCUUAGAAUACUCUAUGUGCUUCACUUAUAUCUUUUAAGCUAGGCAAUAUCGCUCUAGUGCAUCACUUAUAUCUUUUUAGAGCAUGGUGGUGGAUUUAUUUUAUAGAAAUUGUUGAACUCUCAUGCUUCACUUAUAUCAUUUUGAGAGUCUUUUAGAACAGCAUGGUAAUUUGCUUAAUUAGGUUAUAAAACUAGUCCUAAUAUGAUGGGCAUCCAAAAUCGAUACAAUAAAAACUUUCAUAUAAAGUGCAUUGAAUACUAGGAGAAGUUUGAUUCUUUAUGAUUGUUUUGACAUAUGAAGAUGGUGAUAUUAGAGUCAUGCUAGUGGAGUAAUUGUGAAUUUGAGAGAUACUUUAGUUAAAGUUUGUGAUUCUCGUAGCAUGCACGUAUGGUGAAUCGUUAUGUGAUGAAGUUGGAGAAUGAUUUAUUUAUUUAUUGUCUUCCUUAUGAGUGGAGGUCGGGAUCGCGCGAUGGUUAACUCCUACCAACCCUUCCCCUAGGAGCAUGCAGUAGUACUUUGUUUUGAUGACUUGUAGAUUUUUGCAAUAAGUAUGUGAGUUCUUUAUCACUAAUGUUGAGUCCAUGGAUUAUACGCACUCUAACCCUUCCACCAUUGCUGGUCUCUCUUGUGCCGCGCAACUUUCGCCGGUACCAUACACCUAGUUUUCUCUUUGGCUAGCGACAACAACCCUAGCUUUAGGUUUAGGUCGUCGGUGGUGAGGGGGGUCGCCAGAUCCCGUGCAUGUAGAUUGUUUUAGCUUUAGGUGUUAGAGCUCUGGUAGCUUAGGUUUUUGGAUCAUCCAACGUCUUGGCAGCGACGGCUCUUGAGUAUAUUGUGUAUGUGUAUAUUUGUGUGUAGGGCCCACCUCCUGUUUCCUUUGUAUAGUUGAGGUUGUGGCCCACCUCUGUACUUAUAUAUACGUGUAUGGUGCACCGAUCAAUACAUCGAGAUUGCACAGCCCAUAACUUGUCCUUCUACAUGGUAUCUAUAGCAGCACGAUCCUAAACCCUAAAGCCGUCGCCGCCGCCGCGCCUCCACGCGCCGCCGCUGCGGCCGCUACUCCCCACCACCGCCACCAGCCGCCGCCGCCGCCACCAUCCUCUCGGUCGCUGUCGCCGCUGCUGGUCGCCGCCGCCUCUCUCCACCACCUCGCCCGCUGCUGCCACCUCUUCUUUCCGAGGCCGCCGUCGCCGCUUGCUCCCGCUUCCGCCCACGCUCCCGCACCCUCCCCUCCCACCCGCGACGCAACCCGCACCCUCCCCUCCCAACCGCGCCGCAACCCACACCACCCCGUCUCCCUCCGCCCGCGCCGAGUCCCAAACCCUAACCCUCGCCAUGAGCUCCUCCUUGUCCACCGUCUCAAACCCGUUUGCCGGUCCCGAUGUCACUCUCGUUCAUGACCUCAACAUCCAUGAGCGUGUUCCGGUCAAGCUUGAUCACACCACCGCGUCCUACUCCGCUUGGAAGCGGUAUUUUUCUCUUGUGUUCCGUGAGUACCUCCUACACGGCCACGUGGACGGCACUGUGGACUCGGCACUCAUGAUCAACGACGAGGAGUGGAUGAUCCUCGACGCCACCAUCAUCCGAUGGUUAUACCUCACCAUCUCCAGCGACCUCUUCCACACCGUGGUGGACAACGAGGACGACGCCUAUGUGGUCUGGACCAAGCUCAACGAACUCUUCACCGACAACCGGCUGCAGUGCAAGGUCCUGCUCUACGGUGAGUUUUACGGGUGCCAGCAACUUGACUCAUCCAUCGAUGAUUUUUGCAUGCACCUCAAGAAGCUCGCCGAUGAGCUCCGUGAUCUCGGGGAAAAGAUCGGCGACGAGCUCCUCAUCAGCACCCUCUCCGGCGGCCUCAACAAGGAUUUCGGGAACGCCGCCUCCAAUCUCACCCUCAUCCCGGAGCCCACCUUCGCUAAGGUGGUCGCGUACCUCAAGUUGGAGGAGCGCCGGAUGCGGGUGGCGCGGACUCGCGCGACCCACACCACCCUCGUCGCCGGCACCCGCGGGGGUUCCGCCCCGCCACUGCCACGCCCGACGCUGCCACAGCCGGUGGCGCCCGCCUUCCCGCCGGGCUUCCCGCCCGUCCCGGCUGCCCCCUUCCCUCCACCCCAGCUGACGGCCAAUGGGGGGGUCGUCACGGCGGUUGUCGUGGUGGCCGCAAGCAGGGGGCGCAGGCGCUCAAGGAGGAGCACCCCGCCCACCGCAGCAGGCUUCUCAGUCGACCCCGUGGUACGCCGGCCAGAACCCAUGGACCGGCGUUGUACACGCCUACUCCAUGCCGGUUCCUCGAGCCCCUGCACCGAGCAUUCUCGGCACCCGGCCACAGCCACACCAGGCGUACUACGCCGCGCCACAGCCCUACGCGGCGCCCUACGGUCAGCAGCCGCCGCUGAUACGUCUCCAACGUAUCUAUAAUUUUUUAUUGCUCCAUGCCACUUUAUCUACUGUUUUGGACUAUAUUGGGCUUUAUUUUCCACUUCUAUAUUAUUUUUGGGACUAACCUAUUAACCGGAGGACCAGCCUAGAAUUGCUGUUUUUUGCCUGUUUCAGUGUUUCGAAGAAACGGAAUAUCAAACGGAGUCCAAACGGAAUGGAACCUUCGGGAACGUGAUUUUCUCACCGAACGUGGUCCAGGAGACUUGGACCCUACUCCAAGAAGUGCCAGAGGCGGUCACGAGGGUGGAGGGCGCCCCCCCUGGGCGCGCCCCCCUACCUCGUGGGCCCCCUGUUGCUCCACCGACGUACUCCUUCCUCCUAUAUAUACCUACGUACCCCCGACAGAUCAGAGGGGGAGCCAAAAACCUAAUUCCACCGCUGCAACUUUCUGUAUCCACGAGAUCCCAUCUUGGGGCCUGUUUCGGAGCUACGCCGGAGGGGGCAUCCACCACGGACGGCUUCUACAUCAACACCAUAGCCCCUCCGAUGAAGUGUGAGUAGUUUACUUCAGACCUUCGGGUCCAUAGCUAGUAGCUAGAUGGCUUCUUCUCUCUUUUUGGAUCUCAAUACAAUGUUCUCCCCCUCUCUUGUGGAGAUCUAUUCGAUGUAAUCUUCUUUUUGCGGUGUGUUUGUUGAGACCGAUGAAUUGUGGGUUUAUGAUCCAGUAUUAUCUAUGGAAAAUAUCUGAAUCUUCUCUGAAUUCUUUUAUGUAUAAUUGAGUUAUCUUUGCAUUUCUCUUUGAAUUAUCCUUUUUGGUUCGGCCAACUAGAUUGGUAGUUCUUGCAAUGGGAGAAGUGCUUAGGUUUGGGUUCAAUCUUGCGAUUGUUGGGGAACGUUGCAGAAAAUAAAAAAAUUCCUACGGUUUCACCAAGAUCCAUCUAUGAGUUCAUCUAAGCAACGAGUGAAAGGAGAGAUGCAUCUACAUACCACUUUGUAGAUCGCGAGCGGAAGCGUUCAAAAGAACGGGGUUGAGGUAGUCGUUCUCGUCGUGAUCCUAUCACCGGAGAUCCUAGCGCCGAAUGGACGGCACCUCCGCGUUCAACACACGUACGGUCAGCGUGACGUCUCCUCUGUCUUGAUCCAGCAAGGGGGAAGGAGAGGUUGAUGAUGAUCCAGCAGCAUGACGGCGUGGUGGUGGAUGCAGCAAAACUCUGGCAGGGCUUUGCCAAGCUACUGUGGGAGGAGGACAAGGUGUAGCAGGAGGAGGGAGGCGCCAAUACUUGGGCGCGGAUUCCCUCCCCCUUGCCCUCCUUUAUAUAGGCCCCCAGGGGGGCGCCGGCCCUGGGAGAUGCAAUCUCCCAAGGGGGCGGCGGCCAGGGGGGGUGGAGUGCCCCCCAAGGCAAGUGGUGCGCCCCCCCCCCCCCNNNNNNNNNNNNNNNNNNNNNNNNNNNNNNNNNNNNNNNNNNNNNNNNNNNNNNNNNNNNNNNNNNNNNNNNNNNNNNNNNNNNNNNNNNNNNNNNNNNNCCCCCCACCUAGGGUUUCCAACCCUAGGCGCAUGGGGGGCCCAAGGCGAGCGCACCAGCCCACUAGGGGCUGGUUCCCGUCCCACUUCAGCCCAUGGGGCCCUCCGGGAUAGGUGGCCCCACCCGAUGGACCCCCGGGACCCUUCCGAUGGUCCCGGUACAAUACCGGGUGACCCCGAAACUUUCCCGAUGGCCGAAAUAGCACUUCCUAUAUAGUUUUCUUUACCUCCGGACCAUUCCGGAACUCCUCGUGACGUCCGGGAUCUCAUCUGGGACUCCGAACAACAUUCGGUUUGCUGCAUACUCAUAUUCAUACAACCCUAGCGUCACCGAACCUUAAGUGUGUAGACCCUACGGGUUCGGGAGACAUGCAGACAUGACCGAGACAGCUCUCCGGUCAAUAACCAACAGCGGGAUCUGGAUACCCAUGUUAGCUCCCACAUACUCCUCGAUGAUCUCAUCGGAUGAACCACGAUGUCGAGGGUUCAAGCAACCCCGUAUACUAUUCCCUUUGUCAGACGGUAUGUUACUUGCCCGAGACUCGAUCGUCGGUAUCCCAAUACCUAGUUUAGUCUCGUUACCGGCAAGUCACUUUACUCGUACCGUAAUGCAUGAUCCCGUGACCAGACACUUGGUCACUUUGAGCUCAUUAUGAUAAUGCACUACCGAGUGGGCCCAGUGAUACCUCUCCGUAACACGGAGUGACAAAUUCCAGUCUCGAUCCGUGUCAACCCAACAGACACUUUCAGAGAUACCUGUAGUGCACCUUUAUAGUCACCCAGUUACGUUGUGACGUUUGGUACACCCAAACCACUCCUACGGUAUCCGGGAGUUACACGAUCUCAUGGUCUAAGGAAGAGAUACUUGACAUUGGAAAAGCUCUAGCAAAACGAACUACACGAUCUUGUGCUAUGCUUAGGAAUGGGUCUUGUCCAUCACAUCAUUCUCCUAAUGAUGUGAUCCCGUUGUCAACGACAUCUAAUGUCCAUAGUCAGGAAACCGUGACUAUCUGUUGACCAACGAGCUAGUCAACUAGAGGCUUACUAGGGACGUAUUGUGGUCUAUGUAUUCACACGUGUAUUACGAUUUCUGGAUAAUACAAUUAUAGCAUGAAUAAAAGACAAUUAUCAUGAACAAGGAAAUAUAAUAAUAAUCCUUUUAUUAUUGCCUCUAGGGCAUAUUUCCAACAGUCUCCCACUUGCAUUAGAGUCAAUAAUCUAGUUACAUUGUGAUGAAUCGAACACCCAUAGAGUUCUGGUGUUGAUCAUGUUUUGCUCGCGAGAGAGGUUUAGUCAACGGAUCUGCGACAUUCAGAUCCGUAUGUACUUUACAAAUAUCUAUGUCUCCAUCUUGAACAUUUUCACGGAUGGAGUUGAAGCGACACUUGAUGUGCCUGGUCUUCUUGUGAAACCUGGGCUCCUUGGCAAGGGCAAUAGCUCCAGUGUUGUCACAUAAGAGUUUGAUCGGCCCCGACGCAUUGGGUAUGACUCCUAGGUCGGUGAUGAACUCCUUCACCCAAAUUGCUUCAUGCACUGCCUCCGAGGCUGCCAUGUACUCCGCUUCACAUGUAGAUCCCGCCACGACGCUCUGCUUGCAGCUGCACCAGCUUACUGCUCCACCAUUCAACAUAUACACGUAUCCGGUUUGUGACUUAGAGUCAUCCAGAUAUGUGUCGAAGCUAGCAUUGACGUAACCCUUUACGACGAGCUCUUCGUCACCUCCAUAAACGAGAAACAUGUCCUUUGUCCUUUUUAGGUACUUCAGGAUAUUCUUGACCGCUGUCCAGUGUUCCUUGCCGGGAUUACUUUGUUACCUUCCUACCAAACUUACAGCAAGGUUUACAUCAGGUCUGGUACACAGCAUGGCAUACAUAAUAGAUCCUAUGGCUGAGGCAUAGGCGAUGAUGCUCAUCUCUUCUUUAUCUUUUGCCGUGGUCGGGCAUUGAGCCGAGCUCAAUCUCACACCUUGCAGUACAGGCAAGAACCCUUUCUUGGACUGAUCCAUUUUGAACUUCUUCAAAAUCUUAUCAAGGUAUGUGCUUUGUGAAAGACCUAUGAGGCGUCUCGAUCUAUCCCUAUAGAUCUUGAUGCCUAAUAUGUAAGCAGCUUCUCCAAGGUCCUUCAUUGAAAAACACUUAUUCCAGUAGGCCUUAAUGAUGUCCAAGAAUUCUAUAUCAUUUCCCAUCAAAAGUAUGUCAUCUACAUAUAAUAUGAGAAAUGCUACAGAGCUCCCACUCACUUUCUUGUAAACGCAGGCUUCUCCAUAAGUCUGCAUAAACCCAAACGCUUUGAUCAUCUCAUCAAAGCGAAUGUUCCAACUCCGAGAUGCUUGCACCAGCCCAUAAAUGGAUCGCUGGAGCUUGCAUACUUUGUUAGCAUUCUUAGGAUCGACAAAACCCUCCGGCUGCAUCAUAUACAGUUCUUCCUUAAGAUGCCCGUUAAGGAAUGCCGUUUUGACGUCCAUCUGCCAUAUCUCAUAAUCAUAGUAUGCGGCAAUUGCUAACAUGAUUUGGACGGACUUCAGCUUUGCUACGGGAGAGAAAGUCUCAUCGUAGUCAACCCCUUGAACUUGUCGAUAACCCUUAGCGACAAUCGAGCUUUAUAGAUGGUAAUAUUACCAUCCGCGUCCGUCUUCUUCUUAAAGAUCCAUUUGUUUUCUAUCGCUCGCCGAUCAUCGGGCAAGUCUGUCAAAGUCCAUACUUUGUUUUCAUACAUGGAUUCUAUCUCAGAUUGCAUGGCUUCUAGCCAUUUGUUGGAAUCUGGGCCCGCCAUCGCUUCUUCAUAGUUCAAAGGUUCACCGUUGUCUAACAACAUGAUUUCCAGGACAGGGUUGCCAUACCACUCUGGUGUGGAACGUGUCCUUGUGGACCUACGAAGUUCAGUAGUAACUUGAUCAGAAGUACCUUGAUCAUCAUCAUUAAUUUCCUCUCCAGUCGGUGUAGGCACCACAGGAACGUUUUCCUGAGCUGCACUACUUUCCGGUUCAAGAGGUAGUACUUCAUCGAGUUAUACUUUCCUCCCACUUACUCCUUUCGAGAGAAACUCUUUUUCCAGAAAGGAUCCGUUCUUGGCAACAAAGAUCUUGCCCUCGGAUCUUAAGUAGAAGGUAUACCCAAUGGUUUUCUUAGAGUAUCCUAUGAAGACGCAUUUUUCCGACUUGGGUUCGAGCUUUUCAGGUUGAAGUUUCUUGACAUAAGCAUCGCAUCCCCAAACUUUUAGAAACGACAGCUUAGGUUUCUUCCCAAACCAUAAUUCAUACGGUGUCGUCCCAACGGAUUUAGACGGUGCCCUAUUUAAAGUGAAUGUAGCUGUCUCUAGGGCGUAUCCCCAAAAUGAUAGCGGUAAAUCGGUAAGAGACAUCAUAGAUCGCACCAUAUCCAAUAGAGUGCGAUUACGACGUUCGGACACACCGUUACGCUAAGGUGUUCCAGGCGGCGUGAGUUGUGAAACGAUUCCACAUUUUCUUAAGUGUGUACCAAAUUCGUGACUUAAAUAUUCUCCUCCACGAUCCGAUCGUAAGAAUUUUAUCUUUCGGUCACGUUGAUUCUCUACUUCAUUCUGAAAUUCCUUGAACUUUUCAAAGGUCUCAGACUUGUGUUUCAUCAAGUAGACAUACCCAUAUCUACUCAAGUCAUUAGUGAGAGUGAGAACAUAACGAUAUCCUCCGCGAGCCUCAACGCUCAUUGGACCACACACAUCAGUAUGUAUGAUUUCCAAUAAGUUGGUUGCUCGCUCCGUUGUUCCGGAGAACGGGGUCUUGGUCAUUUUGCCCAUGAGGCAUGGUUCGCAUGUGUCAAAUGAUUCAUAAUCUAGAGACUCUAAAAGUCCAUCAGCAUGGAGCUUCUUCAUGCGCUUGACACCAAUGUGACCAAGGCGGCAGUGCCACAAGUAAGUGGGACUAUCGUUAUCAACUUUACAUCUUUUGGUAUUCACACUAUGAAUAUGUGUAACAUUACGUUCGAGAUUCAUUAAGAAUAAACCAUUGACCAUCGGGGCAUGACCAUAAAACAUAUCUCUCAUAUAAAUAGAACAACCAUUAUUUUCGGAUUUAAAUGAGUAGCCAUCUCGUAUCAAACGAGAUCCAGAUACAAUGUUCAUGCUCAAACUUGGCACUAAAUAACAAUUAUUGAGGUUUAAAACUAAUCCCGUAGGUAAAUGUAGAGGUAGCGUGCCGACGGCGAUCACAUCGACCUUGGAACCAUUCCCGACGCGCAUCGUCACCUCGUCCUUUGCCAGUCUUCGCUUAUUCCGCAGCUCCUGCUGUGAGUUACAAAUGUGAGCAACGGCACCGGUAUCAAAUACCCAGGAUUUACUAAGAGUACUAGUAAGGUACACAUCAAUUACAUGUAUAUCAAAUAUACCUUUAGUGUUGCCGGCCUUCUUGUCCGCUAAGUAUUUGGGGCAGUUCCGCUUCCAGUGACCCUUCCCCUUGCAAUAAAAGCACUCAGUCUCAGGCUUGGGUCCAUUCUUUGACUUCUUCUCGGCAACUGGCUUACCGGACGCGGCAACAUCUUUGCCGUCCUUCUUGAAGUUCUUCUUACCCUUGCCCUUCUUGAACUUAGUGGUAUUAUUGACCAUCAACACUUGAUGUUCUUUCUUGAUUUCAACCUCUGCUGACUUCAGCAUUGAGAAUACUUCAGGAAUGGUCUUCACCAUCCCCUGCAUAUUGUAGUUCAACACAAAGCUCUUGUAGCUCGGUGGGAGCGACUGAAGGAUUCUGUCAAUGACUGCCUCGUCCAGGAAGUUGAUCUCCAGCUGGGACAGGCGAUUGUGCAACCCAGACAUUUUGAGUAUGUGCUCACAGACAGAACUGUUUUCCUCCAUCUUACAACUAUAGAACUUGUCGGAGACUUCAUAUCUCUCGACCCGGGCAUGAGCUUGGAAAACCAUGUUCAGCUCCUCGAACAUCUCAUAUGCUCCGUGCUUCUCAAAACGCUUUUGGAGCCCCGGUUCUAAGCUGUAAAGCAUGCCACACUGAACGAGGGAGUAAUCAUCAGCACGUGAUUGCCAAGUGUUCAUAACGUCUUGGUUCUCUGGGAUGGGUGCUUCACCUAGCGGUGCAUCUAGGACAUAAUCUUUCUUGGCUGCUAUGAGGAUGAUCCUCAGGUUCAGGACCCAGUCCGAAUAGUUGCUGCCAUCAUCUUUCAGCUUGGUUUUCUCUAGGAACGCGUUGAAGUUCAUGUUGACAUGAGCAUUGGCCAUUUGAUCUACAAGACAUAUUUUGCAAAAAAAUUAGACUAAGUUCAUGAUAAUUGAGUUCAUCUAAUCAAAUUAUUUAAUGAACUCCCACUCAGAUUAGACAUCCCUCUAGUCAUCUAAGUGUUACACGAUCCGAGUCGACUAGGCCGUGUCCGAUCAUCAUGUGAGACGGACUAGUCAUCAUCGGUGAACAUCUCCAUGUUGAUCGUAUCUUCCAUACGACUCAUGUUCGACCUUUCGGUCUCUGUGUUCCAAGGCCAUGUCUGUACAUGCUAGGCUCAUCAAGUUAACCCUAAGUGUUCUGCAUGUGUAAAUAUGUCUUACACCCGUUGUAUGUGAACGUAAGGAUCUAUCACACCCGAUCAUCACGUGGUGCUUCGAAACGACGAACUUUAGCAACGGUGCACAGUUAGGGGGAACACUUUCUUGAAAUUAUUAUAAGGGAUCAUCUUAUUUACUACCGCCGUUCUAAGUAAACAAGAUGCAUAAAACAUAAUAAACAUCACAUGCAAUUAUAUAGUAGUGACAUGAUAUGGCCAAUAUCAUAUAGCUCCUUCGAUCUCCAUCUUCGGGGCUCCAUGAUCAUCUUCAUCACCGGCAUGACACCAUGAUCUCCAUCAUUGUGUCUUCAUGAAGUUGUCACGCCAACGACUACUUAUACUUCUAUGGCUAACGCGUUUAGCAAUAAAGUAAAGUAAUUUACAUGGCGUUCUUCAAUGACACGCAGGUCAUACAAAAAAAAAA